CCGUCUCAAAAAAAAAAAAAGAAAAAGAAACUGUGUGUUUAAGCGUUUUGAUAUAGGGGGAAGGAUGGACCCGAUCCUUUUUGCUGAAGUCUGCAGAUUUCAUAGGCCAAGGUGGAGGCCUAGUUGAAAAGGGGGCUCAGGGAAGCCUGGCUAGAGCUUGGUCAAGGAGGGUAUCUUCAUCAGUCGUACGUAAGUACAUGGCACGUGGACCUGCAUAGACAUGUGUUUGGUGGAGGCUGUCUUAUAAGGAUUCUGCACAACUCAAGUCCCCUAAUGGGAACAGACGUGGGGAGGUCACUCUUGAGGCUUUUUGUGGUAUUGUGGCUAUGGGAGACCUGAGGAGGGUUCUGGUCACUAGCAGACUCAUUUCAUUCACCCCUUGGAAUCUGCCCAGGACUUGGACUUCUGUGUAAUAGUAACUUCACGCCCCAAUGAUCCUCCACGUUUCUUGCUGAUGCUGUGAUUGCUCCUCCAAGUUCUCCACCUAUGUCCAUCUGAGCACUUGGUAUUUCUACUCUAGUGUCAAAAGGUCCUGCUCCCAAGUCUCCUCCCAAACAUUUAUUCCAAUUUAUCAUCCAGAUGGCAUCUGGAUGCCUUUGCCAUCCCUCUGUGUUCCAGCAAAGGACACCACCCUUCAGGGAGAUGCUCACAGUGGACUCCUUGUCCUCAUCCUGACUCCCCUUUUCUCUGGCACCCGCAGGCCUCAGUGAGUCUCUCGGUCUCUGGCAGCAGCACAGGUCCUGGACUCGAGCCCAUCUCUCCAUCCCCCCCUCCACUACUCCCCCUGGUCCAGCUGUCACCAUUCUCACCCUCGAAUGACUGUCACAGCCUCCCACCUGGUCUUCCUGCUUUACCAUGUUCCCUGCAGGCUGCCUCUGAACUUUUAUAUUGAAAUGAAACUCUUACUGUGGGGAGAACCCCUCCAUUCUCAGACCCCUGGUACCCUUCACUCAUUUACCACUCUGGCCAUCGCUCACUGAGUUCAGGCCACUCUGGCCUCUGCAUGGUCCUCACGCCCACCAGACUCAUGCCCCCUUCAGGGCUAUUGUCAGUUCUACCCCCUUUUCCUACAAAGUUCUUCCCCAUGUCUUCGUUGCCCAGGUGCUCCCUCCCGACAGAGGCCUUGCUGACCACCCCUACCAAGAUUGCCCCACAUUUAUGUAAAUCCAGUCUGUUUAACUAUUAGGGUGAGUGACCUCCAUUCAUACAUUAUAAAUAAUUUACAGUUAUCUAAAUACAGUGCCUGACUCAACAUAAAGACACAGGAAGUUUAAAUGGAAAGUUUAAUUCAGGUUACUUUUGUCGGGUAUCUCUCUUACAUACCAAAAUAAAAAUGUAUAAAUACAAAAAAAAAAUUAGCCAGGCGUGGUGGCUAAUUGAGAGGAGAUGGGGAAAAGUGAUGUGGGGUUCCCCAAUGUUGUUGAAAUCCAAGGGGAUUUCUUCUUAGAAAUCUCUCCCUACAUCACUCUUGUAGUGAAAUAAAACCAUCUCCAUGUAAUUUAUUAAUUUUGUUUUUUGAAAAAUGUCCACUAUUUGAAUCUAAAUAUUAUAGAAAUUUCUCUUUAAACAUUCCCUUUUACUUUAUCCCAAAAUAAAUCUCCCUUUGCAUAAAUUUUUUCUUUUAUUUUUUUUUUUUUGAGACGGAGUCUCGCUGUGUCACCCAGACUGGAGUGCAGUGGUGCGAUCUUGGCUCACUGCAAGCUCCGCCUCCCAGGUUCACGCCAUUCUCUUGCCUCAGCCUCCCGAGUAGCUGGGACUAUAGGUGCCCGCCACCAAGCCCGGCUAAUUUUUUUUUGUGUUUUUAGUAGAGACGGGAUUUCACCAUGUUAGCGAGGAUGGUCCUGAUCUCCUGACCUCAUGAUCCGCCCGCCUCAGCCUCCCAAAGUGCUGGGAUUACAGGUGUGAGCCACCGCGCCCAGCCAAAUUUUUCAACAAACACAUACUCAAGCCAAAAAAUGAUGCUUUAACUUAUGACUUAAAAUUGUUGGGAGUAUAACUCUAGAAAAAAUAUUGCAGUUGAGUACCGAAAGUAUUGAUAAAUGAAAUCUGUUUUCAAAGUGCAAUAAUUUUGUAGAGGAUAAAAUAGAAAUUGUUAACCUAGGAGAUUAAUACAUAAAUAAUAUUUACAGAGCAUUGUCUUGAGAAAUGCAGUUUGAUGAUGUUUCAGUUUGAGCAAAAGAUGAGGCUCUAAAGUAUGGCAUUUCUUUUGCUGCUAAUGAGAGAGAAUCCAGACUUUGCUGAUGUGCUCCAGGGUCUCCUGUAUUCUUUAGAUUUGGAGGAAUCAACCAUGAAGGAGCUGGCUGCAGUGUCAGAAGGGGAAGGUGGAAACUUCAACACAAAAAGGGGCUCCCCUGGAUCCACUGGCCUCAGGGACCCUUGGAUGGAGUCAACAUGGGAGAACCUGGCCUGGCAGCUCUGGAGGCCUGAGUGGAGGGGAGAGAACAGCGCUGCCCUAAGACCCAGGCCCUCCCGGGGAAGGGAGCAGCAGGGCUUGGCUCUUGGCUGCCUGGCUGGUGUGGAAAAGCUCCUUGUUACGGGGUGACUCCCAUGGCCUCUUCCAGGGACUCCAGCAUAGAUAACGUCUCUGCCAGCCCUUCUUGUUGCUUAGAGAGUCUGGAUCUCUCUUCUUUUUUCUUUUCUUCUUUAAACCUCUCUUCUUUCAGUUCUUGAACCAGGGAUGUGAUUUUUAUUUUAUUUUAUUUUUUUGCAAUGGAGUCUUGCUCUUGUUGCCCAGGCUGGAGUGUAAUGGUGCGAUCUCAGCUCACUGCAAUCUCCACCUCCCAGGUUCGAGCAAUUCUCCUGCUCCAGCCUGCUGAGUAGCUGGGAUUACAGGCGCCCGCCACCAUGCCUGGCUAAUUUUUGUAUUGUUAGUAGAGACGGGUUUCACUGCUGGCCAGGCUGGUCUCGAACUCCUGACUCAGGUGAUCUGUCCACCUCGGCCUCCCAAAGUGUUGAAAUUACAGGUGUGAGCAGCUGUGCCCCGCUGGGAUGUGAAUUUCUGCAUCAGCAUUGCGUUGGUGCUGUUCACCUUAUAAGCAUCUACAAAACUGGGGAUGUUUAAAUACUUUUUCAUACGCCGACAUCUUCUAAGGAUCCCUCAAUCUCUGCAGUGUUUUUUUUUUUUUUUUUUUUGUCAUCACUGUGCUUGCCUGUGAGUUGGCAUUUCUCCUCCAUGUGUGAAUCCAGUGUUUCUGCAAGCUGCUUUUCGUAUGUUACAUGGAGUAGAUUCCUAACAGGUUGUCUAAGGAAAUGAAAGCCACGAAAGUUAGGAUAGUAGUUCCCUCUGAUGGGGGAGAAGGUGUACCAAACAACUGGGCACACCAGAGCCCCCAAUCUUCAAUAUGUUAACCUGGGUAGUGGGUACACAGGUGUUUGUUUUAUUUUUAUGUUAGAAACUAUGUAUAUAUGGUUUAUAAACUCUUCUGUAUGUGUGACAGAUUUCAAAAUACAAACAACAUCAAAAAAGUUUUGAAUAAAGAAUUACCUAGGGAACUUGUUAAGAAGGCGGAUUCCUAGUUCCAUUUCAUAUUCUGAUUCCAGAGACCUGGUCAGGACCACAGAAUCCACAUUUUUUUUUUGAGACAAGAGUUUUGCUCUUGUUGCCCAGGCUGGAGUGCAAUGGUGUGAUCUCGGCUCACCACAACCUCCGCCUCCUGGGUUCAAGCGAUUCUCCUACCUCAGCCUCCUGAGUAGCUGGGAUUACACGCAUGCACCACCACGUCCAGCUAAUUUUGUAUUUUUAGCAGAGAUGGGGUUUCUCCAUGUUGGUCAGGCUGGUCCAGAACUCCCGACCUCAGAUGAUCCACCCACCCUGUCCUCCCAAAGUGCUGGGAUUACAAGCGUGAGCCGCCGUGCCUGGCUUUUUUUUUUUUUUUUUUUUUUGAGACUGAGUCUUGUUCUGUCGCCAGGCUGGAGUGCGGGUACACUGAGCUAAUUUUUGUAUUUUUAGUAGAGAUGGGGUUUCACCAUAUUGGCCGGGAUGAUCUCGAACUCCUGAUCUCGUGAUCCGCCCGCCUUGGCCUCCCAAAGUGCUGGGAUUACAGGUGUGAGCCACUGCGACCGGCCCAGCAUCCACAUUUUUAAAUGAUGCUAAUGGAGGCGGUUCGAAAACCACAGUCUGAGGUGUGUUAAAUACUCCAUGCCCACGUUACACGGAGUCCAUUCCUAAUACAUUGACUAAGUCUGAAUAAAACUAAGACCCAUCACUAAGCCCGUGAGGUGUGGACACACCAGUGUCUUCCCAUGGAGGCUGUGGAAAGUGACUUGAGGACUUGGGUCAUGGGGCGGCAGCCCCACCAUCUCCUCAUCCAGCUUCCCAGGGUUCAGUCCAGGGUCCAGCUCCACAGAGGAUCGCAGCCCCUCCAUGACACUGCAGUCCCACACAGCCAAUAGUGGGGCUGAGAUCACUGUUUUAACUUGGUCAAUCAAGUCAGCUUCAACUGAAAUUAAACCAUUAAAGAUAUUCUGCUACUUCUCUGAGAACCUUGCCCUGGGAAUCGUUAAAAUGCAGAUUCUGAUUUCCUUUCUCAGGGAAGAGGCCUGAUAACCUGCAUUUCUAAGAAGCUCCAAGGUGCUGCCACAGGGCUCUGCCUAGUAACCAUGGAUUCCACAGCCACAACAGACACCAGAGAACACCCCACCAUUCUGCCUGCACCCAAUCAGCAGUGGGCAUCCUGAAUUGGUUAAUUUUAUGAUCAGUUAGAGGGAGAAAUUUGUAAAUAAAAUCUACUUGUCUCAAAAAAAAUUCUGGUAGGAAUGAUUUACAGUAUGAGUUAAGCUUAUCUAUGACCUUCAGCCUCCGCACUUUCUCACCAUCUGGUGAGAGCUGGCACAGUUUUGAAUGUUGGGAUGCAGAAAACUGGCAGUUUUGAGAAUGUUAUAUACUAAAGAAUGGGACAGUUCAAGUAAAAAAUUGAUAAAUGAUAACCUAUGCUCUUGUUGGUUAUUUAUUAAACACGUACUGGCUGAGCACUUACUAUGUGCCAAGCAUUGCACAGCUCGUGCAGAGCGCCAGGCCUGUCAAAACAUACCCAACAAGAAGCAUUAUUUACAGGCACUGUUUACAGGUACUGCACCCUGCUUCCAUCUCUGCACUUGCUAUGCACCAUGUAGGUUUAUGAUCCCCAUUUUACAGAUGAAAAAACCCAGGCACAGAGACGUUGAGAAACAUGCUUCAUGUCACACAGCCAAUAGUGGGACUGAGAUCACUGUUUUAACUUGGUCAACCAAGUCAGCUUCAACUGAAAUUAAACUAUUAAAGAAAGACUUUCUCUUAUUCUGCUACUUCUCUGAGAACCUUGCCCUGGGAAUCUUGUUAAAAUGCAGAUUCUGAUUUCCUUUCUCAGGGAAGAGGCCUGAUAACCUGCAUUUCUAAGAAGCUCCAAGGUGCUGCUGCUAGUUCCAGGACCACACUUUUGAGUUUGGAGGCUGAAGUAUUUAACAGUCUGUAUUGUGAAAAUGGAGGGGCAGUGUAAUGAAGUGGGAGGAGUGUUAGAUGGGAUUGUGAGGCCUGGUAACAGAACCUGGACCUCAGACAUCUGUGUCCCCUUGUGCUUGUCAGUUCACCUCCUUGGGCUCAGGUUAGAUGAGAUCUCUAAAGCAUAACUUCUGCUUCAGUAGCCUGCACAGUGUGUGAAAGUGUCGUUGUCUUUUAUGAAUCCUAGCUGAUGCAGAACCCUUAAAUUAGUUUAGAUUUGAAGAUAUAACAAAAUAAUACACUUUUAAAAAGUGACAGACUGGGCAUGGUGGCUCACACCUGUAAUCCCAGCACUUUGGGAGACUAAGGCAGGUGGAUCCCUUGAGGCCAGGAGUUCAAGACCAGCCUGGCCAACAUGGUGAAACCCCAUCUCUACUAAAAAUAAAAAAUUAGCUGGGUGUGGUGGUGCAUGCCUGUAAUCCCAGCUACUCGGGAGCCUGAGGCAGGAGAAUCACAUGAGUUCAGGAGGUGGAGGUUGCAGUGAGCCGAGAUUGUGCCACUGCACUCCAGCUUGGGUGACAGAGCGAGACUCCGUCACACACACGUGCGCGCGCGCGCACACACACACACACACACUCACAGGUUUCCCCCAAUCCCCAUUAUAGAGUAUUUGAAAAAGUAAAAAGGAAGAAAAGAAUCACCAUCUCUCACUCCAAAGACACCCUGUGUUUGAACAUUUUGGUCUAUUCCAUUAUUUUCUAUGGAAACUGAUUUACUUUUUUUUAUGCAUACUUUUGAUGAUGUGGUAGAUAUAGUGUCUAUCUGGCUCUUAUUUAGCAUUACAAAAUAACUUUUAUAUGUUAUUAAAAAGUCCUAUUUAAUGGCUACAUUAUACUCCAUUCUAUGAAUAUAGCUUACAGUCUGUAUAACCUUUUGUUGUAGCUAUUUCUAAUAUUUUGCUAUUAUAAAUAAUUCCUUUGUUUAGGGUUAUUUCCUUAGAUUCUCAGAUUUAGUUAAAGAAUUUGAAAAGUUUAAGGCUUAUGGGAAAGCUUUUAAGAAUAGUAGUCUCUCUUUGCUAAGUAAAUUUUUAUCUGGAAAAUUUACCUGUGUAGGGACAGAUUAAUAGAAAUUGCCACACCUGAGGAGAUACACUCUUAAUUCACUAAAAGCAAUAAUAAUAUUUGUGGUCAACCUGUGUUGAUGAGUUAGUAGGUCCUAGGCACUGUGUUAAGUUUAUCAUCCUUAUUUUACAGAUGAAGAAAACCUGCUUGAUAUCACACAGUCAGGAGUCAACUGAGUUGGGGCUUUGAACUUAGGUUUAUCUGAUGCCAAAGUUUGUGAUGCUCUUCAACCAUUUAGGGUACCGCAGAGUGUGGAUUUUGAAUCACCUGCAUCAGCAUCAUUUUAAAAUAUAGAUUCUGUGGUCCUGACCAGGUCUCUGAAGUCAGAAUAUGAAGUGGAGCUAGGAAUCUAACUUCUUAACAAGUUCCCUAGGCAAUUCUUUAUUCAAACUUUUUUUGUUUAUAUUUUGAAAUGUGUCACACAUGCAGAAGAGUUUAUAAAACACAUAUAUGGUUUUAAAAAUAAUAGUAAAACCCUGGUUAACAUAUUGAAGAUUUGAGAGCUCUUGUGUGCUCACUUGUUUGAUACACCUUCUCCCCCAUCAGAGGGAACUACUAUCGUAACUUUUGUGGCCUUCAUUUCUUUGCUUUUCUUUAUAGAUCCCUAAGGGUAUCCCUGAAUGAUACAGUUUUGUUUGAAAGACUGAAAAGCCCAAAGCUGGCCCUUUUGGGAAAUAGCAGUAAAUCAUUGAUAUGUGAAGGUUCCCAGCAGGAGGUAAGUUGAGCAAUGUCUUUGGGACAGAGUCUGGAUUCAGUUUCCUUGAGAAGAUUCCACCUGGGGAAGUCAGUGGGCAAGGUCUUGGGAAGAUUGUUAAUCACAGUGAGGGCAUCUGAGCAGGGCUGUGGUUUGAACAGCUGGCAAAAAUAUGGCUGAAGAGGAAGGAGGCUGCUUUUUAUCUUUGCAGCUCAGCUCAGGGAGACAUGAGUAUCUUUAGCUAAUCCAUGCAAUGGGGUGUGGGAAUGGGGACAUGGGAGAAUGGGGAGCCCAUCAGCUCCCAGUUCUUGUCUUAAUCUGUUUUCUGUUGCUAUAGCAGAAUACCUGAGACUUGGAAAUUUAGAAAGAAAAAUGGUUCAUCUGGCUCAUAGCUCUGGAGGCUGGGAAGUCUAAGGGCAUGGUGGCAGCCUCUGGUGAGGGCUUUUGCUCUGUGUCAUAACAUGAACAAAAAGCUGAAGGGCAAGCCAGUGUGUGCAAAAGAGACCACAAGAGUGAGCCAAGCUCAAUUUUAUAACAACCCGCUUUCAGGAGAACUAACUCACUCCUAUAAGAACUAAUUUACUCCCAAGAGAACAAACUCACUCCCCAAAUAACAGUCUUAUCCAUUCAGGAGGGUGGUGCUCCCAUGACUUAAUCACCUCUUAAAGGCCCCACCUCCCAACACCAUCAGUGGCAAUAAAAUUUCAACAUGAGUUUUGGCAGGGGCACUCCAAUCAUAGCAGUCAUUAAGAUAAAGUACAAAUAAGCUUUUGUAUCAGGCUCAACAGGCAGCCUGUCCUUAGACUGGCUUCUUUCAUUGAGUAAUAUGCAUUUAAGUUUCCUCCAUAUCUUUUCAUGGCCUGAUAGCUCAUUUUUUUUUAGUGCUGAAUAAUAUUCCAUUGUCUGGAUGUGCCACAGUUUAUUUAUCCAUUCACCUCCAGAAGAACAUCUUGGUUGCUUCCAAGUUUUGCCAGCUAUGAAUAAAACUGUUAUAAACAUCUGUGUGCAGGCUUUUGUGUGGACAUGAGUUUUCAACUCAUUUGGGUAAAUGUCCUGUCUUUUAAAAAUAUGUUUUUCUCUCUUGUUUUUUAAAAACUUUCCUCCUCAUUUUUGCUCUAUUUUUCUAAAAGAUUUCCUUAGCUUUUUUCUUGACUCAACUGAGUUUUAAAUUUCUGCUAUUAUGGUUUUUCAUUUCUAAGAAGUAUUUUGGUUAAUUUGUUUUCUGAACAUUCCUUUUUUACAGCAUCUUGUUCAUGUUCCACACAAGCAAAACUUUGGUCUCUUAGAGGAUAUUAAUGUUAUUUAUUUAUUUUCUCCAAUUGCAUGGUGUCUGAUUUCCCCAAGUUGCUUUUUCUUUUAUCUUUUUUGUCUUUACUUUUCAUGUCAGAGGCUUUCUAGAUGUCUGUUGAACCUCAGGUGAUUCUAAUGCACCUAGUGGCCUGAGAAGCAGUGCUAGAGAGUCUCCUAACCUCUCCGAAGCUUAAUCAUCCCAACAGAGAUCCCACCAAGAAAAGUGACACAGUUCAGUAUUUUUCCCCAGAACUAGAGCUUUUCUCUUCCAAUUAGAGGCCUAGCACUUUUCCUGAAUGAAAUGUCAUAUGACAGUAGCCUUAGAAGUGGUUUCAUAAAUUAUUUUGUGCAUGGUUCACUCCCCUAGUAUGUUUAUUCGUACCCAUCUUACGUGAUUCUGCCUGUGCCAAUGCUCCUUUGUCCCUGUUUAAGUUGGAGAGAAGCCUGACACUGGCCAUCAGGAACAUGAUGCUGACCUUGGCUGUCCUCACCUGCUGGGCAGACAUAGUUGAGGCCAACAUCCUGGACCCAGAGUAGAAAUUAGAUUCCACUUGUGGAGGCGUGCAGCAGGCCGGAAAGGCCCCUGUCCAAGGCCAAAACAUCUUACCAUUGUAUUGCUGCUGCAGACAGGAAGGGGUGUAUGCCUGUAGAAGUGCUGAGGAUAUGUAAAGGGAAGCCAGGGCCUGCGGUGUUGACACGGGGUAAGUCAACUCACAUUAGAAAUGAACCAUAUUUUCUUUUCUAAUAUAUAUAUUUCAACAAUAAAGUUGUGUGUGUUAAUACGUGUGAUUAAUCUAUCUUUAGUCAUUCAAAACAUUUUUACAAAAUAGGGUGCAUAUGCAAAGAGAUUUGGCAUAGAGAAGGAGGAGAAAUAAUAACAAUGAUUUCCAAGUAGUAGACUUUUAUUAUGUGUCACAAACUUUACACAUACCUCUUUUAAAUAUUAACCUUAUGAGGUGAAUUUUAUUAUAAUCCUUUUUUUUAUAAGUGAGAAAACAGUGAUUUGGAAAGUUAAGAAAUUUCCCCAAUGUCACUCAGCUCCAACGUAACACAGGCAAUAAGUUUGAGAAUCAGCAUUCAAGGCCAGGUCUGUUGAUGACUCUGCUGCCCACAGUCAUAACCAUUAUACCACACUGCCUACACAGUAGACACUCAGUCACUUUUGAAUGAAUGUUCUGGCAGGACCCUAUUAUUAACUUAGAUGCAAUAGCACCCAGAUUUGGACACACUAACCAUCCCAUUAGAAUCCCCUGUAUCAGUUAGCCAUUGUCAGAGUAAUGCUAUGAAACAAACCACUCCUAGUCUUAGUGGCUUAAAAUAACUGUCAUUUAUUCUGAGGGAUCUGCAGGUGAUGUGGCUCUGCUUCAGGCUGUGGUAGCUGGAAGUCAGCUGAAAUAGACCGGGCUGGGUUGAGUGGGUCUCUUUUAAGCUACAGAUCUGCAUAAACUUGGCUCCUUUCUUAGCUACUUUGCAUGUAAGCUAAUUCUGAGACUCAGCUUGAAGGGGCAGUAGCCAAUGGGGGGAAGGUCUUUUUGUAGCAAUGACAGACAUGUCAGAGGGCACACUUAACUGCACAAACCAUUUCACACCCUUGUUAGUGUCAUGUCUGCCACCAUCCCACUGCCCAAAACAAGUCAUCUGGUUGAGUCCAAAGUCAAGACAUGGGGCUGCAAAGUCAUGUGGCAGAGAGCAUAAAUUUGGGGUGGUAGUGAAGAAUUGAUGCUAAUAAUUCAACCUACCACACCUGCCCAGACCUAACAUAUGCCUGCACAGUAUGCCUGUAAAUAAAUGUUUACAGGGAAGCAAAGUGACGAGGUCUAACAUAUUUCCUAUGUCUAUUUCAUGAAGAUCAUCAUUACUGCUGCACAGAGAAUAGAUUGAAGGAACAGGGAGGGAAGCUGAGAUGCCAGCUGGGAACCUGGUGCUGGGUGAGAGAUAACAGUGGCCUAGAUGUGGGUGGUGACAAUAGAGAUGGAAGGAUCUAGACCCAUAAGCACCACACACAGCUUAUGGAGUUACUAUCAUUGCUUUAAAGUUACUAUCAUUAUUUUAAAAAAUACGGUAGUCUAGUCUACCAACUAUACUAUAAAUUCCAUAUUUUUACAAUGUAUAUAUAAUUCUUUACAAUGUACAUGUGAGGUAGACAGUAAAAAAGAUGAAAGCAAAUAUGGAAAGGACUGUUAGAAUUUAUUUAAUUUACCCUGGGCCUAAAAAAUGUCGACACAUUAUAAUUCUCUUGAUGGGGACAGAUUUGGCAUUUUUCUAUACUUAAAAAAAUGUUCCUUUGGGAGGCCAAGGGGGUAGGAUUACUUGAGCCCAGGAGUUCAAGACCAGCCUGGACAACAUAGCAAGACCCUGUUUCUAAAAAAAUAAAUAAAUAAAUAAAAAUAAUUAGCUGGGCAUGGUAGUGCACGCCUGUGGUUCCAGCUAUUUGAGAAGCUGAGGCAGGAGGAUCAUUGGAACCCAGGAGGGUGAGGCUGCAGUGAGCUAUGCUUGUGCCACUGCACUCCAGCCUGGGCGACAGAGCGAGACCCUCUCUCAAAAAACAAAAACAAAACGAAGUUCUCUUGCCUCUAAAGUUUCUAUAGUUCAGUGUGAUGACAUUUAGAACUCUAGAAUGUUGGGUUUGUCAUUUGUCAAUGACACUUAAAUAUCUGUGUAAUGGGACAGUUCCUUCCAAAAAAAAAAAAAAAAAAAAAAGGGAAACUCACCCAAACAAAAAGUUGUGUUUUGGUGUUGUGAAUAUGGGUGGUAGCAUUAUUCCUUUAUAGGCUUUUAAAUGUUAUCAAAUAGUUAACACAACAGGUCCUCAAAUAACAUUGUUUCCUUCAACGUUGUUUCAUUACAAUGUUGAUGAGAAAAAAAAUUGAUUCCAGCCCCGGGCCACUGUCUGUGUGGAGUUUGCAUGUUCUUUCCAUGUCUGCGUGGGUUUUCUCUGGGUACUUCGGUUUCUUCCCACAUCCCAAAGCUGUGCACAUUAUGUUCAUUGGUGUGUCUGAACUGUCCCCGCGUGAGUGCGUGUGGGUGGGUGUGUCAGAGUGUGUCCUGCGAUGGAAUGGUGUCUUCUCCAGGGCUGGUUUCUGCCUGGUGCCCUGAGCUGCUGGGACACGCUCCAGCCACCACGGCCCUGAACUAGAAUAAGUGGGUAAAUAUUAAUAACUAUCUUACUUGUUUUUAUUAAUCUUUCUUAAAUACAUGUAUAGCCUUCAACGUUUGAUAUUAGAAAUGUUUUGGGUCCUUAUUUAGAAGUUUGGUGAUGUUUUGUGACCAGAAAUAUGCCAUAGGAACUCACCUCUUGUGUAUAUCAAUUAGCUUAUGGUAAAAUUGGUUCAUUCUGGACCAUUUGGCUUAAAGUCGCAGUUGCCAAGAAUUUAUCAGCAAUAAUGUUAUGAGGACUUACUGUACCGCUUUCCUAGGCCACAACAUCUGAUGAAUGCUUUCAAGUAGUACAUCAAUUAAAAUAAAAGUACGGAAAUAGUUUUAGGUGCAGCAGCACCCUCUCUCUCCACCUCCAGUAGAUUCUCUGGAAUCGCUGGCAACUUCUUGAAUAAUUAACCUUGGUGGCCUUGAGCUCUUUCCCCUGAUCUUAGUUGUCCCUGGUUCCACCUUCUGCUCUGCCACCUUGUGGAUUUAUUGGGAAUUGCGUCUUCUACUGGGAGCCUUGCCGACUCACCUAGUUACCCCGCUGGGGCUUUUCCUGAUAACCGGGAUGGGGUUUAGAAGAGAAUUCUCACCGCCUGAGUGACACUCACAAUAAGACACUUUGCUCUUUCGGUCUUUCUAUAUUCCUCCCCCUCUCGCUUCUUUUAGGACAACAUCCAGAGGCCAAGCUGAAGGGCAUUUGAUGGCCCUGCCAGUAUCACACCUGAACGGCCCUCCCCACCCGAGACUUGCAGCAGCCUCCCAGGGUGUGAUACAGGCUCCGACUCUCUCCAGUCUCACCACCUCAGUCCACCAGAGGUUGCCUUAUGCUUUAAAAAAUUAUAAAAAUAAUACAAGCUUGCUUAAAGCUUACCAGUGAAGGAGACAGAUUUUUAAAAAGUAAACAAAUAAAUGCAAUACGUAUAAAUUAUGGUGAGUGCUGUGAGAUGGAGAGUGGUGGUGGUGGGGGCAGGGAACUUUUUAUUAAGAAGGCUGGUAAGGGCAGGCUUUCCUGAGUAGGAGAAAUUUCAAAUUGAAACCUGAAGGAUGAGAUAGAUCCAGUCAUUAAAAGAGGGAGAAAAAGCACAUGCAAAGGUCCUGAGGCGGGAGUGGGCUUGUUAAGCUGAAAGUGAGUGAGUGUGGCCAGAUGGCAGUGAGCAGGAGGGGAGUGGUUGGAGUAAGGUUUGAAAGGGCAGUAGGCACAAAAAACACAGGGUCCUGUCGUGCUUGGUAGGGAUUUUAAUUUUAUUCUGACUCUCAUGGGAAGAUGAGGAAAGAUCUUAUGCAUGGAAGUGAUGAGGUCUAACUGAUACUUUCUAUUUCAUCCUUGCUGCUGCCUGGAGAACAGAUUGAAGUGAACAGGGAGGGAAACUAGAAUCCCAUUUGGGAGCCUGGUGCCAGAAGCUGGGUGAGGGAAACAGUGGCCUAGACUUGGGUGGUGGCAUUAGAGACGGAAGGAUCUAGAUCCAUGUUGUCUAAUAUGGUAGCACUAGCCACAUGUGGCUACCGAGCACUUGAAAUGUAUAAGUGUAAAAUCUACACCAGAUCUUGAAGGUUUAGUACAAAAAAAGGUAUAAAAUCUCUCAUUGACAACUUGUUUAUAUUGAUUAUGUGUUAAAAUAAUAAUAUUUUGGAUAUUUCAUCAUGUUAAAAUAUAAUAUUAAAAUAUUUAACCUUUUUACUUAAAAAAAGUGACUACUGAAAAAAUUUAAAUUACAUAUGUUGUUUGCAUCUGUGGCUUUAUGUUUUUAUUGGACAGUGCUGAUAUAGACAAAAGUUGCAAAAUUUAAAAAAAUAUUUUUUUUUGGAGACAGGGUCUUGUUCUGUUGUCCAGACUUGAGUGUAGUGGCAUAAUCAUUGCUCACUGCAGGCUUGAACUCCUGGGCUCAAGUGAUCCUCUGACCUUGGAAUCCCAAAGUGUUAAGAUUAUAGGUGUGAGCUACUAUGUCUGGCCAAAAAAUACUUCUAUUGUAAAUUUACAUUGGACACAUUAGAAAUUUAUAGCUAAGUAUAGAUUUUGUUUCUGGCCCACAGAAGAUAUUUAUUUGAUAUAAUAAAACAAAAUAGUGUUCUAUCCAACCACAAAGAGUAAAAGGAGUGAAAAAUUUGAAUAUACACAUACAAAACUCAAGCUGUUUAACGUGACAAUUUUUCUUUUUUCUUUUUUUUUUAAAAUAAUGCUACUAGCUGCACGUGUUGACUCACAUCUGUAAUUCAAGCAUUUUUGGAGGCCAAGGUAGGAGAAUUGCUUGAGCUCAAGAGUUUGAGACCAGCCUGGGCAAUAUGGCAAAACCCAUUUCUACAAAAAUAUACAAAAAUUAGCUGGGCAUGGUGGCACAUGCGUGUAGUCCCAGCUACUAGUGAGGCUGAGGUAGGAAGAUCACUUAAGCCUGGGAGGUUGAGGCUGUACUGAGCCAAGUUCGUGCACUCCAGCCUAGGUGACAGAGGGAGACCAUGUUUCAAAAAAAAAAAAAAUGCUCUAAAAUUCCUUAGUUAUUGAAAAUUAUGUGAAAACAGAAGGAUGUUAAUAGCAGCAGAGUGCAUGAAAUCAAGUAUUGAAUUUUGAGCAAAUGGGCCAGGUGCAGUAAUUCUUUCUUGCCUGUAAUUCCAGCACUUUGGGAGGCUGAAGCAGGAGGAUCACUUGAGCCUGCAAGUUUGAGACCAGCCUGGCUAACAUAGUGAGCCCCUAUCUCUGCAAGGAAGAAAAAAAAUCAGCUGGGCAUGGAGAUGCACACUUGUAGUCCCAGAUACCCAGGAGGCUGAGAUGGGAGAUCAUGAGCUCAGGAGGUUGAGGCUGUAGUGGGCUGUGAUUGCACCACUGCACUUCUGCCUGGGCAACAGAAUGAGACCCUGUCUCAAAAAAAAAAUUUACUUAUAUAUAUAUAUAUAUUUGAGCAAAUGAACAUGUGAGACAACUUUGCUAACAUUGCAUGAUCUUUUUUUUCUUGUUUACAAUCUGCUCAAAAUAUCUUUAUGCUGACUGUGUGGGCAGCACAUUCAGGUUUAAUAUCAGUUACACAUUAGCAUAAAUUUGGAGAAAUACACAUAGGGUAUUGUUUUCUUUUGAGCUGGCAAAGUGACCACAGAAACAUCAGAUCAUCUCUCUGAAUACAGAAUUUUAUCCAAAUAAAUGUCACAUGCUUUCCAGACAUAUUUUAAUCAUGUAUUGAAUUUCUUAGGCUGAAAGCAGUGUCUCAUGCCUGUAAUCCCAGCACUUUGGGAGGCUGAGGCAGGAGGAUCGCUUGAGCCCAGGAGUUUGAAACCAACCUGGUCAAAAUAGUGAGACCCUGUCUCUACAAAAUAAAAAAAUAAAAAAGUUAAUUGAGUGUUGUGGUGCGUGCCUGUAGUCCCAGCUACUCGGGAGGCUGAGGUGGAAGGAUCGCUUGAGUCUGGGAGUUAGAGGCUGCAGUGAGCCUCUGCACACCAGCCUGAAGUGAGACCCAGAGUGAGACCCCCAUCUCAAAACCAAACCAAACCAAACCAAGCCAAACCAAACCAAAACAAAACAAGAAACUUUCUUCAUGUGAUAUUUAUAGAUGAUUUGAAUUUGAAAUGACUUCAGCUUCUUAAACUUUUGUUGUCCUUAUAAAAAUACCCUUGAAUCUGGAGCAUGGCUGGUUCCAGUCUUAUGACAGCAUGUUGCGUGAGGCCCUGUAAAAGAUGAGGAGUUGUCCCUGAGGUUAUGGGGCUUACUGGGAAGAGCACAUGAUCUAGAUUUGAAGACAGAAGACGUAGGCUCUACCUUGGCAUCCAUAAUGUGUGAACUUGAACUUGAUUUCACAUCUUUGAAUCUCACUUUUCUUACUGUAAAAUGGAAGUGGACGAUGAAUAGUACUAGCUGCCAUGAAGGUCAUAGCUUUCCCCUCAUCCUUUAUUGCACCCCACAAGGUAGGUGCUCUUAUCUCCUUUUGACAGGGGAGGAAACUGAAGUUCAGAAAGGGUAAGUCACUUACCUAAGGCUAUAUUGCUAGAAAAAAUUGAAGCUAGGAUUUGAACUCUGUUUUUCUGUCUCUAAAGUCAGCUGAAAAUUGUUUUUCCCCACUCAUCAUGCCCCUUGCUAAUUUCCCUGCCUACCUCUGAGAUUAUUGGGAAGAUCAAAUUAGACUGGUGAAUGGGCUUUAGAAAAAUGUCCUAAAAGAUACAAAUGUGUAAUAGAUCAUGAAUUCUCAAUGAAACAGGAGCAUAAAUGGAAGCUCCAGAGAAACACUCACAAACGUCUGUCUGGUGCUUAUCUGUCUGUUUAAAUGAAGUGAAUAUCACAUGUUGCUUUUUCAGAUUCAAGCUCUGAAAGUCAUAUUACAGAGGAACAAUUUCCUUCCUCAGGAUGAAAAUUUACAGGAAUUCGGAGGAAAAUAUUUCAGUGGUCAUUACUAAAACGCUCAGAGUCAGAUACAUUCAGCAUCAUACCAUAAGUCCCGUUAGUCAAAGCAUAAACAAGCACAGGGCCUGGCGUGGCUUCCUUCAAGUUGGCUGACUCAGUCUGGGAGGAUUCACUCAGCAAGAGGCAGAGGAACCAAGGCAGGAUGAAGACAUUGCCUGUGCUCGUGCUGUCUCUUACCUUACUGACUGUCUUCUCAGAUGGCUCAUGAACUCCUGAGCCUGAGUGUCCUUAAGGCACCUUCCCGACUUUUCCAGAGACCUCCCCGAUUUUGACAGAGAAGCAGGCCAAACAGCUCCUAAGAUCUCGGCGACAGGAUAGACCAAGCAAACCCGGAUUCCCCGACGAGCCAAUGCGGGUGAGUGCUUUGCUCUGGCAGUUUUAAAGAAAAUGUGAUCAUUUGAAUGCCAUUCACUAUGAAACUAGGUGUUGGUCCCAGCAUGGGCUGCUAGUUAGGGGUUCGGUUAGAGUUUCAGGUAGAAGAUAGCUGCAAUCUCAAUCUUUUACCUAUGCAUUUUCUUCUUUGGAGGUGCCAGCCCGACUCACCUGUUAUGAACAGGGUAACUUAAAAUAGAAAAUAAUGAGGCCAAUGGUGGGAGUUCUAGAAUCUGGAGAGGGCUGCUGAAUGUCACCCCUGUCCUGCUGGGGAGCUGUUCCCUUUAGCCAACGCUAACCCCAUCUCCUGCCUCUUCACUUGGGCCCCGGAGCAGGCUGGACCAGCAUCCUUGGUCAAUGAUGGUCUGUCCAGGCAGGGAGAAUCUCUGCCCCAGCUGCCUGAGGGGUUCUGCUCCAAUCUCAUCCCUCUGAUUUUGGUCUCUGGCCUUACUUCUGCCCUGUGGGGUCAUGAUAUCCACCUGCCUAGUCUUUCUGAACCAGGCUCCCUCUGUGAGUAGAUGUUACUAGACCCUGCUAUGCUGGCCCCGGACCCAAUUCAGGCCUGGCUUGGUUCCUCCUGUUGCUAAAAUGAUACUGACUUUGGUGGCAUUUUAGCCCCACCCAGUGAAGGGAAGUAGCAGUGACCCAGCAAAGUUAGAAUGUCUGGGAAGCCUGUCUGUCAGGCUGGUCUCCCAUCCUGGCCCCUUCAUCUGGGCACGAUGCUUAUCCUGUUUUCCCUGAAUCUCCAUGUUGCGGCUCAGAAGGAGCUGCAGUAGCAUUUACCUUCAUUCACUGCAAAAUCUCGUGCAUAAUUAGAUUAUUUCAUUUAAAGGCUCUUAUUAAGAUAUAGUAUUGCACAGUGACGAAGAGUGCUGACUUUGGGGUCAGACUGGGUUUGAAUCUCCCUGUUUACUAACUGGGUAAAUUUGGGGAAGUUUCUUCACAUUUCUGCAGCUCAGUACUCUCAUCUAUAAAAUGGGGAUAAUAAAUACUAUUGCUGAUAUUACUAUAAUAUUAUUAUUAUAAAUAAUAAAUGUAAAAUAAUUAUGAUGAUAAAACAAAGUACUUCUUAAGAAAGCACUUAGAAAGUGCUCAGCAAAUGGUAAGUACUCCUCUGAAUAUUAAGUACCUGGUACCUGCUAGGUGCUGGGGCUGUAGGUUUCUGCUCAAAGUCUGUGGUGGAGACAGAAGUAAGCAAAUGGCUGCUAUGCAGUAUGAUUUAAGAACAGAUGACUUCAGGCUCUUAGGGAUAGAUGUGGCUUUUAAUUUUUUUUUUUUUGUAGAAUAAGAGGUAUCUUGGGUUUUAUCUUGUAUCUAGUAGAGAACAACUGAAGGAUUUUUCAAGUGGGGGAGUACAGAUCUGGGUGUUAGAGAGUUUGAGACAAUGAGAGAAGGGGCCCAUGAUUGAAGUCUGGGAUCACCAACACUCAGAGGUGGGCAGAGGAAGAGGAACCCUGAAAGGGCUGAGAAGGAAUGCAGAGAGAUAGAGAAGCCAAGAGAGUGGGGGUGGCAGAGCAAGGCGGGGAGGCAUAGGAGGGGCUGGGGUGAAGGAAGGGCAGCAUGUGCACAACUGUGAUGGGGAGGAGGAUGCCUGGAGGGAGGGAUCCUGUUGGCGGCUGGCGGGUUGGGGGUGGGGGCUCUGGCUGGCCCCCUGUGCUUUUGGCAUGAUGCCUGGAGCGGCCAUUCUGCAGCUCUUCCUCAGGGACCCGGCAGGGGCUGGGGGAGCUGGUUGAAGAGUCCUCAAAGCAGUGGCUCCUGCUCAAGGUGCUCGAGAGGCAGCUCUAAUGACUCCCACGUCUGCCCCCUGACAUUUUCUGUGCCAGCAUCUGCACCUGGCUCUUUUGAACUCUGUCUGUGGAAUAACAGUCUUUGUCCUAACUGAGGCAUUGUAGAUGUGGGUGAACAGGUGGGUUUGAAUUGCUGCAGCCCGUUGUUGCAACUGUUGUUGCCAGGCUAGACUCUGGCCCUAAAACCCUGUUUUGUGUGGUCCUUCCCCUGCUCAAAAACUUCUGAAAGCUUCUCCUCUGUUUGCUUUUUCCCACUUGUGGUCAUCACCUCCCUUAAUCCUUGACAGCCCUCUGCUUGCUUCCAACUUUGCGAUUUUACUGAAUAUCUGGCUUUUUCUGGUUUGUUUUGCUCAUCUUUUAUAGGCUUGACCACCACCUGCUCCUCUUAACUGCCUCGAACCUACCUGAUUAGUUUCCAUGUAACUCCUUCUUGCCUCAGAACCUAUUGCUGAGCCACCAUCCCAUCCUCCAUGUCCCUCUCAGAGACACUUCAUCCAAUGUCCAGAAUCCUCAGGCAUUCAGUCCAGUUUGGAAAAGUGGUCAUAUGUUUUACAAUUGAAAUGUGAAACAAACAUGCAGUCAAUUAUUGGGUGGCUAGUCUACACCAGUAGUUCUCAUCCAUAGGUGAUUAUGCCCCCUCAUCCCCAGGGACAUUUGACAAUAUCUGAAGACAUUUUUGGUUGUUACACCUGUGUGGGGCAUUGCUUUUGGCACCCAGUGGGUACAGACCAGGGAUGCUGCUAAACACCCUACACAGGGCACAGGGCAGCCUCCACCACCCUCUGGCCCAAAAUGUCAAUAGUGCCAAAGGAGAGGAACCGAGUCUACACAUUGCCAAGUAAACUUUUUCUUGUUUACUCUCUGUCAUGCUGUGUGUGUCUCUCUCUGUCUCUCUCUAUAAUUGCACUCACUUGAACACACACAGAAUUGGUUGAAUUAACAAAUAGUUUCUGGUAUCGUAUUUUUUCUAGAAAUGUGUUUCUUAACUUUGGUUACAUUCUGGAACCACCUGGGGAAUUUAAAUUCUGAUGCCUGGGUCCCACUCCCAGAGGGGUGGCCUGGGGUGGGACCUGGGUAUGGGGGAUGGGGCCAAAGCCCCAGUGAUGCCAACCUGCAGCCGAGGCUGAGAACCACUGGGCUAGGCCAUCUGGGAGAAAUCAGCCACGUGUAUAGCAGCUCCUGUGGUCUAGUUGGGAACAUAAAAGCAUUUAGAAAGCUGUUAAAUGUUGAACUGGGUGGUAUGGAGAGUAUCUUAGUUGUUUAGACAAAAAGAGAGAGUGAGAGGGUCAAGUGGUGAGUGCUGAUCAAGAUGUGCACUUAAUUAGAUUUUAUAUUGACCGUGCCCUACUAAGCACCAGGGACUGAGGAUGAAAGAUAAACCAGACGUUCUUCCUUACUCAAGGUGCCCAUUGUGUGGAGGUGGAGCCAGAGUGCCCCAGCCUGAUUUGGGCUCACUAAUGAGGUUAUCUGGUACAAUGGACUGCGGCUCGGCAAGAAGAGAGUCUCAAGCCCCAGCCUGAUUUGGGCUCACUAACGAGGUUAUCUGGUACAAUGGACUGCGGCUCUGCAAGAAGAGAGUCUCGAGCUCCAACUGGAAGGAAAGGGGAGGCUGGGAUGGCUUCCCAGAGGAGGUGCCCACCCAGCUGUGGCUUGAAGGAUGACCAGGAGUUCUCAGGCAGGGCAGGGGGUAGGGAUGAGGCAGGAAGAAUAUUCCACCCAGUGCAUUUCCAGUCCAUAUUCUGCCGCUAACUAGUUGUGGACUUUGGGUAAGUCACUUCCUCUUUUGGAAGCCUAGUUUUUUCAUCUAUAAAAUGCAGAGUUUGGCUGGAAUCUGGCCUAGAUUCCAGAAUGUCUAGUUCCAGGUCUCAUAUUGUAGGGCUCUGGAUAGAACCUUGGGGCUGACACAGGUUUCCUGGUGCCAGUCUGCAAUGUGACAGAAGAGCCAGAGGCAGCAGGAUACCAACCCAAGCGAGGAGUCAGGCAGUUUAUUCUGAGGCCCCUGGAGGGGUAUCCCUAGAAACCACAGGCCUCCUCACCUCAUGCUGGCCCUGCGGCUGGGAGUACUCCACAUCCUCGACUUACCAUUUGACCCACUCACGCUUCUUGGGUCUCCUUGUUGACUUCUUCUUUUAUGGAUUUACUGAAAGCAAAAUUAAUAAUGCCAGUCAGUGGCAUGUAAAAAGAGGUAAUUUACUGCAUUUAACUGUGACUGUCAAAAUGAUCCUGGCCCUGCACUCCCAGUUGGAGCAUAAGAGGCAGUGGCCUCAGGUUUGUCCUUGGGUGGUGAGGAGCCGAUAAGCCUGGACCUCUGGCCAGGGGAGGUCAGAGGCUGGCAUUAGAGCUGCCGUACGGGCCCACAUCUUCAUAGCCUGGGAAGGAGGGAGUUCAGAGGCUAAGGCCUUUGCCUCCUGGGAGCCAGCCCUUCUGGCUCUUUGCCUUUUGCCAAGACCUCCUCACCCUCCCUGUUUCUGAGUGUAGGCCAAGAACAGCUGCGCACAGAUGUCCCUUUGCUUGGGAAGAGGGUGGGAUGGAUGCACCAUGCUGUGAAUUUGGCUGCCAGUAUUGUGUAUGUGUGUAUGUGUGUGUGAAUGUGUGUGAGGGGUGUGUGUAUGAGGGUAUGUGUGAGGGUGUGUGUGUGAGGGGUGUGUGUGAGGGGUUUGUGCAUGUGAGGUGUUUGUGUGUGUGAGGGAUGUGUGAGGGGUGUGUGUGUGAGGGUGUGUGUAUUCGAAUGUGAGAGUUGUAUGAGGGGUAUGUGUGUGAGGAGUAUGUGAAGGUGUGUGAGGGUGCAUGAGGAGUGUGGGAGAGCAAUGCAUGUGUGUGAGGAUGUAUGUGAGGGGUGUGAUGGUGUGUGUGAGUGUGUGUGUGAAGGGUGUGUUCAAGGAGUGUGUGUGAGGUGGGGGUGUGUGAGGGGUGUGCAUGAGGGGUCUGUGCAAGGAGUGUGAGGGUGUGUGUCAGAAGUGUGAGGGGUAUGUGAGGGUGUGUGUCAGAAGUGUGAGGGGUGUGUGAGGGUGUGUGUCAGAAGUGUGAGGGGUGUGUGAGGGUGUGUGUCAGAAGUGUGAGGGGUGUGUGAGGGGUGUGUGUGAGGGAUGCAUGUGUGAGGGUGUAUGAGGGAUGUCUGAGGUGUGUGUGUGAAGGGUGUGUGCAAGGAUUGUGUGUGAGGUGAGUGAGGAGUAUGUGUGAGGAGUAUGUGUGAGGGGUGUGUGAGGGUGUGUGUAAGGGUGUAUGUAAGGGGUGUGUGUGAGGUGUGUGAAGGUGCAGGUGUGUGUGAGGGUGUAUGUGUAAGGGGUGUGUGAGUGUGUGAGGGUGUAUGUGUAAGGGGUGUGUGAGUGUGUGAAGGUGUAUGUGUAAGGGGUGUGAGGGGUGUGUGAGGGGUCUGUGUGUGAGGUGUGUGUGUAGAGGGGUGUGUGUGAGGGUGUAUGUGUGAGGGGUGUGUGUGAGGGCUGUGUGUGUGAGGGGUGUGUGUGUGUAGAGGGGUGUGAGGGUGUAUGUGUGAGGAGUGUGUGAAUGUGUGUAAUAGGUGUGUGUGAGGGUCUGUGUGUGAGCAGUCUGUGGGGUCUGUGAGGGUGUGUGUGUGUGGGUGUGUGUGCGUGAGGGUUGUGUGUGAGGGGUGUGUGUGAGGGGUGUGUGUGAGGCUGUGUAUGUGUGAGGGUGUGUGUGAGGGGUGUAUGUGAGGGUGUAUGUGUGAGGGGUGUGUGAGGGUUCGUGUGUGUGUGUGUUUUGAAAAGGCCUUACUGAGUAUUUUUUCAGAAGGUCUGAGUUCCAGCCCCCUCUUCUACUUUCGCCUUGACUUGCGGACCUGGGUUUUGUGGAAUGAUGGCAGAUGGCAUCGCCAGGUUGUUGUGAGGCUGGGUUGGAAGGUACUUGGAUGCCACAGCAGAGUUGGGUUUCUGUACACAGUAGGGAGCUGUGCAGGGAUUUCAAGCAGGGGAAUGAUGUGAUUAGAUCUUGUUUCCAGGGGCCCUUUAGAGGUUCAGGACACAGCCUCUUAAAUGCUUGCCUUUAGAUGCUGUCAUACCUGGGAAAUAGGAAGUGACGUUUUGGAUGCGCUAUUGCACCUUCUUGCCAUGGUACCCAGGAGACAAACAAGUGGACUUGGGCAAAUGAGUAGAGUUAGUGAUCAUUGGAGAAUGCAUGUGCCCUUGAGAACAGAGCCACAUACCCUCACACACACCCCUCCACACUAAAUCACCGAGAGAUGACUGGUCAGGUUAUUUUAUUUUGCUUCUCCAUGUUAAGGGACUGUGCAAAAGAAAACACUUUCAGAGAGGGAAGAGGCCAUUGAUGAGGGUAAACAAAUGGUGCUUUAGGGGAGGUGUUAAGAAUUCAAAAUGAAAACAAGUAUGAAGAUUUGCAGAAGUCUCUCCUCAUGAAGAUCUACUGAGCCAUGUUUAUAAACUUAACACUUGGCUUAAAUAUUGGAGAGGUUGGCUUCUGUGGAUUUAUAGGCUUUUUGAAAACAGGUUGAGACAAGCUGUGCCCGUGCACACAAAGGGCUAGACUGUUUGACAUAGAUCCUGCUGAUUCACUGCAACAAGCUGUUCUUUUCUGACUUGGUGGUGGGAAGGACAAAGUGCUUUUGAGAAGAUUGCUGGGUAACCCUGUACUGUAGGGAGGGCCAGUAUUCAACCCAGAGGAGCACGGACAUCUUGCGGGGAACCUAGAUGAAGGAAGGCAAGGCCCAGAGGGGAUGGAGAGGGAGAUCAGAGGGAGACAGAUGGCUCUGGGUAAGAGAGAAGGAGGGAUUUUGAGUGUAUGGAGGCAGUGUAUGGAGGUAGCGUAUGAAGAGAAAGGUGGGAAGGUAGAACCCAAGGACGGCAACCCACUGAAAUUCCCAGCAGCAGGAAUAACGGAUACAUUUAUUUUAUGGUAACUCUGGACACUGAGUUUAAAUUUGCUUUCUGCUCUGUGCUGUUAUUACCCACUGCUACCCCCAAACCUUAGGACAAGUCCGCUACAUACAGAAACUUUGUGUUAGUUGUUCCUUGAGGGAAUGGUGGAUGGCAGGGAUGUGUUGUAUGGGGUGGUGGGGGCUGACAAGAGAGCAAGGGAAUGGCUAGAAUGUGGAAGUGGCAGGGGUAGAGAAAUUGGUUAUGAGAAUAUUCAGAAUAAACUUGACCCCACAUUUUCAGAGAUUUUGGAGAGUAGGGUUCUAGACUUCAUAGGAAUGGGAUGAACCCUCUCCGAAGGCUGGAACUAAUUUGCUUGGAGACAUCCCUUUUGGAGGCAUGUAGGUUUCAGCUGAAUUGACUUUCUACUAUUUAUUUAUUUAUUUAUUAUUUAUUUAUUUUUGAGACAGGGUCUCACUGUGUUGCCCAGGCUGGAGUGCAGUGGUGCGAUCAUGGCUCACUGGAGUCUGGGCCUCCUGGGCUCAAGCGAUCCUCUUGACUUUAUACUUUAGACAAAGUGGCCCCAUCAUGUUAGAGAGCUCAUGGUGUAAUGAAGGCUCAAGAUCCUGACAGAGAAAAAACCUCUGUUUGGGGAGAAAUUAAUGAAGAUCAGGCUGUGCGAAAAGAAGGGCUAGGUUUGUGUUUAGAGGGAAGAAGGUGGAAAAAUAUUCUGAGCUUUCCUUGAAGGUUUCCUUAGUGAUGAAUGUGCUUAUGUUGAUUUUCAGGAUUGUGGUCUAAACUCUUGCUGUUCAAAAUAUGAUCCCCAGCUGGGCUGCAUGGGCCUUACCUGGGAUCCCGUCAGACAUGCAGACCCAGGCUCCUCUCCAUACUUCCCAAAGGCAAAUCUGUGCCUCCCUAACCCCCAGGUGAUCCCUGUUCACCUUCAAGUCAAGAAGUGCUGUCUUGGAGAACUGCAAAGGUGGUCCAUCUCUGCUCCUGGCAUCCUGGGACUGGGAACCAGUACAUGUUAGUUUUGUUUUGACACAAUUGAUCUCUCUUCCUUCCUUCUGGGCACUCUGCUCACUUGGUUUCCACUUUCCCAGCAUGCCUCGCCCAGGCUUCUCAUUCCACUUGGUGGCUCCCACUGCUAGGUUUCCUUUACUGGAUUCUUGGCCUCUGACAGCUGUUUAAAUGUCAGGAGGUCCCAGGGCUCUGCCCUCCAUGUGGCUUUAAAGCUCACCUCCCUGCUGAUGGCACACACUUCUAUCUCCAGCCUGACCUCUUCCCGGUCAUUUACAUGACUGUCUACUCCACACCACUGUUUGUACUGGAAUAUUUAACAAGCAUUUCAGAUCUAACAGCCCAAACAAAAUUCACUGUUUUACCCUCAUAAUGGCUGCUGCCUUAGCGUUCCACAUUGGGCUAAGGGGACCACCUCCAAAUCCAGAACCUGACUACUUCUCACCCUCCACUGCCAUCUCCACCACAAUUGUCUGUAGAGUGGACUAAGCAAUAAUCUCUUAAUGGUCUCCCUGCUUCCUGUCUUGCUGUCAAUGGAGCAGUCAGAGUCAUUUCUUAAAGUGUAAACAAGAUCCUGACCCUCUCCUGCUCAAAACCUGCCAAUGACUUCCUGUCUUACUCUGAAUAAAAUUCACAGUCCUGGUCAGGUGGGGUGGCAUGCACCUGUAGUUCCAGCUACUCAGGAGAGGCUGAGGUGGGAGAUCGAUUGAGCCCAGGAGUUCAAGGCUGAAGUGAGCUAUGAUUGCUGCACUCCAACCUGGGUAACAGAGUAAAAUUCUGCCUUCCUAGGACUCACACCCAAAACAAUACUAUAUGCAGUAUUUAUACAGGUACAUGGAUAUGCAUGUAAAUUUCUAAAAGAAGAUCUAGAGAGGUAAUCAGUUGACGUUUAACUGUAUCAUCUCAUUUAGGAGACUAGGAUUAAAGGUGGUGAUUUGAUGUUUGAAUUGUAUACUAGAGUAAUUACUUGUAUAAUUAAAAAUAUUUAAACCUUUCACAUGUACUAUUGAAAAAUUGGAAACCAAGAAAGAGUCAAAAGAAUAAAAGAAAAUCAACUGUAGGCCGGGUGUGGUGGCUCACGCCUGCAAUCCCAGCACUUUGGGAGGCUGAGGCGGCCGGAUCACGAGGUCAGGAGAUCGAGACCAUCCUGGCUAACAUAGUGAAACCCCGUCUCUAUUAAAAAUACAAAAAAUUAGCCAGGUGUGGUGGUGGGUACCUGUAGUCCCAGCUACUCGGGAGGCUGAGGCAGGAGAAUGGCGUGAACCUGGGAGGCGGAGCUUGCAGUGAGCCAAGAUCACACCACUGCACUCCAGCCUGGAUGACAGAGCGAGACUCUGUCUCAAAAAAAAAAAAAAAAAAAAAAAAAAAAAGGAAAAUCAACUGUAGUCCUGUCCCUUCUCCCCAAAGACAGGCAUUUAAAAAAUGUAUUUCUUUUUAGUCUUUGUAUAUAUUUUAAAAAAGUAUCUACAAUUUUCUAUCCUGUUUUUUCCCUUAAUAUUAACAUACACAUGUCCUCAUAUUAUUAUAAUCUAUUUGUAACCAUGAAUUAUCCUCUUUUGUUAGAUAGUUGGAUCAUUUCCAAUAUCUUUCUGUUAUAAACAACACUCAGAACAUUUUUGUGCAUAAAGUACUUUUAAUAUUUUAAGUUAUUUUCUAUGGGUAUAUUCCGAGAAAAUGAAUUACUAGGUCCAAGAAUCAGAAUAUUUUUAAAGCUUUUAGUAUACAUUAUUGAAUUGCUUUCCAAAAGACUUUAAACAAUUCAUGUUAUUUUUAAUAUUCAAUGUCACUGUCUUCUGAGAGAGUAUUGUAGUAGAGGUUUUAAGGUAGAGAUAUCAUGGGAACAUGAUUAUGGUAUCUUGAAUUGGAGACCAGUGGGCUGUUGCUGGGGCAGGAGGAGUGGGUGCAGGGAGGGAGGAAUAGGGAUAAAAAAUGACGUGUAGGGUUUUGUAUAGGCAACUUAGUGCCAUUCAUUGGCAGUGGAAAUCCAUGAGUAGAAACAAUGUAUGUGGGAUGAUGGUGUGUUGCAAGUUCUCCUCCCAUGGCACCUGCUUUUGUAGUUGUAUCUUCUGCUCUUGUUUACCUGGUUAACUCUUAUUCAUCCCCAAAAACUCACCUUAAAUGAUGUCGUUUUUGAGAGGCCUUCCUGGUGCCUCCCCCUGGUAAAUCAACGUCCUGCUAGCAUAGCAAUUGCAGCGCAAGGUUGCUAUUUUUGACUCUUUUAUGUCUUUCUACUAGACUGUUCUAAAUUACUUGAGGAGAUGGACUAGUUGUUUUACUUCUGGGUCCCCACCACCAAGCACCGUACAGUAUUGGCAUUUACUAAAUGAUUGUUACUUCUUUCCAUUCCUUCCUUUGCUUCUCUCCAGGGUAGAAAUUUUGUGGGGAUAUAGCUCUGCUAUAAAACCUGGAGGUUAUUCCAAAUAAAUAUUUUCUAUCGCCUCACUUAGACUCAUUAAAUUUCUCUUAAUCUACUCAAAUUUUAGGGAAGAGGUUGUUUGCCAAUUGCUCGGGUGAGCUGUGGAAAUUCUUUAAAAAGAUGAAUGUCUUGAAGCUUGAAUAAAGCUUGAAUGUCUUCAAGCUUAAAUUAUUUCUUUUGUGAUUAUAUUUGUAAGUGCUUGUGAAACCUGGGAAUACACUUUUCUUGGAAGUGUUCCAUUUUGGCCUGUGAUCCUUUAAGGAGUGUUCUUGUUGGGCAAAUAUAAAUCAUUUUAGCUUUAUGGUAAGUAGUCUUUGUAAAAUAUGCUUUCAUGUUUAGCUCUUUGACAAAUGUAUAUAGUAACUCCAUUACCCUUUUGUUCCCCAUUACCUCAAAGGCCAGUUUGGAGUGACCGAGGUGUAAAUUGCCCACAGCACUGUUCUGCCUUUCUUUAGGACGGAGCCUUCAGUAUUCCAGUGCAGUUAAGUUCUGAGCCACCAUUCUAUAUAUAGGAUUACCUUGCUUGUACUAAUGAGCAAAAUAAUUUUUCCAAAUGCUGAUGGAUCUUUAAUUCUGCAAAAAUGUCACAGGAAGUAUUUUGCCUUCUUGGAAAAAGGUCCUGCCUUGAUAGAAUAACUGUCCACUUUAUGAUUCUCAGCAUAGGUCAAGUUCUGGUGGGUAUUUAAGUUCAUUAUCACACCACUCCAGAGCCAUAAUAAAGGCCUACUUUUAAUUUCUGCUCUAAUUACUGAGAAAUAAUUUACUUAAAUCAUUAUAGUUGGCAUUUGACAUGGAACACAGAUACUGGUUUUUGUUUUGCUUUGAUUUACACCCCCCACUUGGAGAAAGGAAUCUGAAGAAAUUAAAACUCAUUUUCCAUAUACCCCUUCUUCCUUGGUCCAGGAACAUUUGAGAUUAUCAUUAAUGUUGGGCCAUUUCUAACUCAGCCAGUGCAAUUGUUGAAUUUGUGGUUUUCAGCAGAUUUGCAAUUUGCCUUUUGAUUUGACUAAUGAUUGCUUUUUAAGCCUUUGUGGCAUAUUCGUUUUCCUAAUAUUUUAAAUAAAUAGUGAAAUGUCAUGGAAACCAGUGCUCAUUUCUUUCUUAUUCUCAGUGUGUGUCUGUUUUGGUUGUUUUUCUUCAAUGAUUAUUUCAGUUGGUGUUUAGGAGUGUGAAAUAUAUAUUACUUUUUGGUGCUUUUAAUGUACAUUUGGCCUAGGCUGUUAUAAUGAGCAGACUGACACAGAUAUCAAGAAAAUUUCCAAGGAGGAUUUAGCAAGAUUAUAGGGAAAGAACAGUUAUUUCAUUUAUUCAUUUGCUCCUUUAUACAUUUUUCCAGUGAGCUUUGUUGUGGUCCUACUGUGUGCCAAGCACUAAGUCACAGACCAGAUAUACUUUGGUCACUGCCAUAAAAAAACUGGUUGGAUAUUUGGCUGAGAGGGACAGAGAUUAAAUGAGUAAAGAUGCAAAUGAGUAUAUAAUUAUAAAAGGUACUGUGUAUCAGUAGUGACAUUCAUUAAUAUCACCAGUGAUCUCAUUAUAAAAGUCUUUAAGUAUUGGGAAGUUGCCAGCCUUCUGUAGCAGAUGCAAGUUUUCCAAAAUCUGGUUUCCUCUGGGAAGUUCUAUUUAAUAAAUACUGUAAAUUGUUUUUCUUGAGGUGACAGGCUCACUUCAUUCAUUGUCAAGAUGUCUGCCCAACAUGCACAUAAAACAUGCAUAGCCAGUUCAACACCAGCAAUUGCACACAUGCUUUUCCUUGUGAAAACCAUUGCACUUUGUCAUACAGCAGAAGUACUGCCUGCAUAUGCCCUUUUGGGUCGCUCUAUAUUGUUUCACCAGGGCAUUCUUCAGGGCAACUGGCAUUUUAAGAAUGUUUUAUUUUUAUUUUCGUACUGUAAGUGCGUGGUGGGGAAGGAUAUGAUGACCGCUAAUAGAAUUGGGUACCACUGCCUGGAUUCCUGCUAAGGCGCCAGUCAUUUUACCUACCACUGCCUUGGCACAUCAGUGAAAAUGCCAAUACAGCAAGAAGACAAAUAAUGUCUGAGUAUUAUUCUAAAAAUAGUUUGGCCUUAUGGGCCUCUGAGGGGAACACAGCUCACGCUUUGAAGAAUGAUGCUGUAGUCUUUUCUUCAACAAGCCUUUACGGAAAGUUUCCUGUGUACCAGUUCCUGGGAAAGAUGCUCUCCUUCACAAUCUUGAUGUGUACUCAGAUCUUUGUUAUCUAAUAGUAGCCAAAGUUAACAGCUAGCAUUUAAUGCAUUCUUACUAUGUGCCAAGAAUCAUGUGCCAAGGCCCUGUAGUAUUGGGAUCCCAGCAGGAGACUGGGUACCUGAAGAGUGUUUAAUAAAGAGACUUUUUACAAAGGCGUGGGCAGGAUUAAGGCAAACCAACAAGAAAUAAUAAAAGAUCAGGUUUAACAACCUCUAGACCAUAAAGGGGUAAGGGAGGCAGACGGUUCCCGGAGCUGGAGAGGACAGCCUCCUAGGAGCUGUGGCCUUCAGGAGAGGGAUGCAGCCAAUUGCUGAGGUGAACUGUAGAAAUUCUUUAAAAAGAUUACAUUCAAGCUGAAAUGAUUUCUUUUGAGAUUGUAUUUAUGCAUGGUGUGGCUGUGACUCCUUGGUGAGGAACUAGGGGAUUGAAUACCCUGGCCUCUCCCUCCUCCUACCUUCUAAUCCGUUCUGGUGUCUCCCACUGAUGAAACUUAACCAGAAGCCACAGGCCAAGGGAGUCUAUGGCGACAAUUAAUCUGGGUCCCACGGCCAGGCGAAAAGGGAGACAGAAAGGAUCUGGAGGGACAAAUGCAGGCUACUUAUUUGGCACAAAACUUUAUUUGCACCAUUUCAUUUAGUAUCUAACCCAAGGAAGCAAGUUAACUAACUUAAGGAAGCAAGUGCUAGUGCAAUCCCCAUCUUGCAGAUGAACAAACUGAGGCUGGAGAGGUAAAGCAAUAAUGACAGGGUCCAGGUUUGAAGGAGACUCAGACUCUUAGCCUCUAUUCCUCCCUGUCUGGCAAACAGGCCAGCAAGAAGCAGGCAGCAGGGGUUCCUUCAGUGUGCUGCUUCCACAGAAUAGUUGAACAAGUAAAGUUAUAUGCUGGGAACUUGUUGUUCCUUAUUUACAAGACUGCACACGGCCUUCCUGUUCCUCCCAAUUACUAUUCUUCUGGCCAAAGACUCCCUGGAUAGGGAAGGAACUCAGCCCAAAAUCCGCAAACAUGUUCAGAAAGCAGCCAGGGAAUCAUUGUUGGAUCCCACAAGGAGCCCUCUCACCAUCUGCCCUCUACCCCAGCUGACCCAGAGACUCCCUGCCAGAACACUGAGUGUAUUUUGAUGAGUUAAAUGAAAACAACAACCAUAACCAAAACAAAUCCAAACUGCAUGGGUCCUGGGGGAAAGAAAAAAAAAUCAGAAAAAUUGGACACUUCAUAAUUCCUUCCUUUGCACAUUCUUUUUCUUUUUAAAUGAGUACAUUUGAUGUAGAAUGCAGAGUUCCUAGAGGGUGUUCUAAAAACUUAAAAACUUAGAGUUCUAAAGUGGACCUGACCCUUUGUUAAAGCCUUCUUAAUGCCAUAGGAAGGUUUCCAUGAUUUAGAGUUUUUAUGAUAUUGAUACAUGCCAAAAACAAUUUAAUCACAUCACAAAUAUGACUGAGUAUGUCUACUCUUUCCUAAGGUGAAAUGCCACUUCUCUGAUUAUUGGCCUGCUGUUUGUAUGGACCUGUUCUAUGCAUACUUUGUAAUGGUUCACAUCCUAUAAUUACAGCACCAACAUUUCCUUCAGGGCAAUAUAAAAAACACACUCCAAGUUAAAAAUCAUUCCCAUCUCUAUCCAUUCUCUUUUGGAGGGAACAUAAAAGAACAUCAAGUUUUUUGUUUUUGUUUUGAGUUUUGUUUGAGCCUCACCAUGUUGCCUGCGCUGGAGUGCGGUGGCACGAUCAUAGCUCACUGAAGCCUCAAACUCCUGGGCUUAAGUAAUUCUCUCGCCUUAGCCUCCUGAGUAGCAAGGACUACAAGUGUGCACCACCACGCCCAGCUGGAACAUCCAAUUUUGAUACCAAUGUAUGAGCCAACCCACCUACGACCUCCACUAAACAGUAUGAGGCAAGCCAAUGAAGUCCCCACUCUCAGGGAGAGCUCACUGCCACACAGAAUGACCAGGGAGGGCUAUGCUGGGAAAAGUCUAUGGAGCUUUGGAGACCCAGAGAAGUGGGAUCACAGGGAAUCUGAGAAGGCUUCCUAGAGGAAGUAACAUCUAAGCUGAGGCCUGAAAAGUCAGGUAAGAGUGAGAUGGGAAAAUAAGAAGGUACAGGGGUGUUCUAGGCAGAGCAAACAACAGGUGCUUUGGAAGCCUUAGAAAGAACAGCAAGCAUGGCCUGUUCAGGGAAAGAUGGAGAACAAAGCUCAAGUGUAUUGAUGGUGAGAGAAGAGGCUCAGGAGAUGGGUAUAGCUGGGUCAUGGAAAGACCUUAGCCAUAUUAAGGAAUCAGAACUUUCUCCUGAGACCAGUGGGAGGCAUGCAGGCAUUUUAAGUGAAGAAGCAACGUGGGUAAAUUAAAAAAAUAUAUCACUUUGCUGCCGGGCGCAGUGGCUCACGCCUGUAAUCCCAGCACUUUGGGAGGCUAAGGCGGGUGGAUCACGAGGUCAGGAGAUUGAGACCAUCCUGGCUAACACGGUGAAACCCCGUCUCUACUAAAAAUUCAAAAAAUUAGCCGGGUGUGGUGGCGGGUGCCUGUAGUUCCAGCUACUCGGGAGGCUGAGGCAGGAGAAUGGCGUGAACCCGGGAAGCGGAGCUUGCAGUGAGCCGCGAUGGCGCCACUGCACUCCAGCCUGGGCGACAGAGCGAGACUCUGUCUCAAAAAAAAAAAAAAAAAAAAAAUUAGUUUGGAACAGGAUACAGAAAAAUCAAGAGGGAUUUUUCAACCUCUUCUUUAUAACUUUCUUUUUUUUUUUUUACAUGACUUUAAGAAAGUAAUAUGUAUCACUGUUGUGAUAAAAAUAAAAACCAGUAAAGCUAUUUUUGUUCUUUAUAUUUUAAAAACCCAUUCUGACAAAACACUUGAAUAGACAUCUAAUGAAGAAGAUAUACAGAUGGCAAGUAAGCAUGUGAAACAUCGUACAUCAUUAGGGAAAUGCAACUUAAAACAACGAGAUGCCACUAUACACCUAUUAGAAUGGCCAAAAUCUGGAACAUGGACAACACCAAAUGCUGGUGAGGAUGUGAAGCAACAGAACUCUCACUCAUUGCUGGUGGAAAUGCAAAAUGGUGCAGCUACUUUGGAAGACAGUUUGGCAGUUUCUUACAAAACCAGACCUACUCUUAACAUACGAUUCAAUAAUCACACUUCCUGGUGUUUACCCAAAGGAGUUGAAAACUUACAUCCACACAAAACCUGCACCCAGAUGUUUAUAGCAAUUUUAUUCAUAAUUACUCCAACUUGGAAGCAACCAAGAUGUCCAGAGACAGGGUUUCACCACGUCGCCCAGGCUGGUCGCGAACUCCAGAGCUUGAGCGAUCUGCCCACCUCAGCCUCCCAAAUUGCUGGGAUUACAGAUGUGAGCCAUGAUGCCCGACUGCCAUGCGUUUGUGUAAUACCAAGAGUGAGCCCUAAUAUCAACUAUGGACUGGUGAUGAUGCUGUGUCAAUGCAGGACAUAAUGCCAUGAGUAACCAAUAUACAGAAAAUUCACAGCCUGAACUGGCUUCGGGGAAGACCAAGGCGCAUUUGGAGGAGAAGGCCAGCCCUAAAGGCUGGAAGUGACCUUCCUGUUGAUAAAGGGCAGAGCACGAGCAAACUGAGAGAGGAGAUGCAAAGACAAAAAUUUCAUGCAAAGGAUGGGUGUGUUCAGAGGCUGAUGAGCUGCAGGUUGCAGAGAGGCCCUAUCAUGGCACUCUGUUAUUUGUGCUGUCUGCUCCCUUCUCUGGUGGUAGCAUACCUGCCACUCCUCAUCAUCCUGGUAUGGACGCAGUUUUUCUCUGCCCUGACCCCAGUCCAUUCUCCACCCUGCUGUGCCCCACUCUGUGCUCAAGGAGACUGACUCCUGCAGACUGAAUCCCCUGGUUCCCUGGCCGGCUGGCUUCUGAUUGGGCCCUGCAGGAUAUUGAGGCAAGCAUUUUAAUAGACAACAAGCUGGAUAAUGUCGAAACAAGACAAGGCUGCUUCUUUCACUUGUUUUUAAAUUGCAGAAAUGGAUGUCUUCAGACCUCGUGAACUGUGGGCAUAUCAAAGAUUGCCUUGGAAAUGGCAAAUAUAUAUACUGCUUCAUUUUACUAACCUGCAUAAAUCACUAAAACCAAUAGCUUAAAGCAUAGACACCUCCCAAAGAUCUUCCCAUCAGUUUGCAAGAGUGGGAACAACCAGAAUCUUACCUGGGGUUGAUGGAGCUGGAACUCCCAGACCAGGAGUUGGGGCAGGCUGCCUGCCCUAAGGAAUUUGGGGAAUCCUUGUUCAGAGUAGUGAAGCAUACCACUUGGGGUUGCUGAGUUGUUUUGUCCUCUAUUUUUUUCCUCUUCUUUUCUGCCCUAAUAAACAUUGGUAUUAAAUUUACUUUUAGUGGUCUCUUCCUUUCUCUCUCUCUCUCUCUCCCCCCUCUUUUUGUUUUUUUGAGAUGGACUCUCACUCUGUCACUCAGUCUGGAGUACAGUGGCAUGAUCUUGGCUCACUGCAACCUCCGCCUCCCAGGUUCAAGUGAUUCUCCUGCCUCAGCCUCCCGAGUAGCUGGGACUACAGGUGCACACCACCAUGCCCAGCUAACUUUUGUAUUUUUAGUAGAGACGGGGUUUCACCAUGUUGACCAGGCUGGUCUCAACCUCCUGACCUCAGGUGAUCCACCCGCCUUGGCCUCCCAAAGUGCUGGGAUUACAGGUGUGAGCCACUGCGCCUGGCCUCUUUCUUUCUCUGUAAGUAGUGAAACAGAGAUUUCCCUCUUUUGUUUAUCUUUGCAAAUCCAGCAUCAGAAAGCUUACUGUUCUUUGAAUGAAUGAAAAUACAAACACCCUGCAAUGUUGCACAAGGGUUAUGUAUAUAUUUAUAUACAUACAUAUAUAUAUAUAUAUAUAUGAGAUUAUUUGCCUAAGGCCAGUUCUGGAACUAGGGCCAUUGCUUAAUACCAGUUUUACACCCUGGUCUUUUAGCAAAGGCAACAUUUCUUGUGAAAAGUGGGUUGUAGUUCCUGUAUCCCGGAGGCCCUCACCUGCCCCACAGCCUUGGAAUCAGAUUGGACAAUUAGAGGCCAAGAAAAGCAGAAAUUUGGAGGGCAAGGGAAGGUGGGCCAAAUGGUUCUGGGGAUAGAAGAAUCUGGCAUCCUCAAAAAAAGGUAAGGAGGGAUGCCCACACACCCUGGGCUACAGAGGAGGGCUUGUCCCAAGGGAGGUUGGGUGGUGUAUUAGUUCAUUAUUGCAUUCCUAUAAAGAAAUAUCUAAGACUGGGUAAUUUAUACAGAAAAGAGGUUUAAUUGGCUCACAGUUCUGCAGGCUGUACAGGAAGCAUGAUGAUGGCACCUGCUUGGCUUCUGGGGAGGCCUCAGGAAACUUACAAUUAUGGUGAAAGGUGAAGUGGGAGCAGUCACAUGGCCAGAGCAAGAGCAAGAGAAGAAGCGGGAAGAUGCCACACACUUUUAAACAACCAGAUCUUGUGAGAACCCACUCACUAGUGUGAGAACAGUACCAAGGGGAUGGUACUACACCGUUAAUGAGAAACUGCCCCCAUGAUCUAAUUAGCUCCCACCAGGCCCCACUUCCAACAUUGGGGAUUAAAUUUCAACAUGCAAUUUGGGUAGGGACAUAGAUCCAAACUAUAUUAGGUGUGUUCAUCUAGGGAUAAAGGCACUGAAUCUCUCAAUAACAAUACCAACAUUUUGGGUCAAACUCCGUACAGAUGGUCCCUGAGUUCUAGUGGUGUGAAAGUGAUAUGCCCUCAGCCAAAACCAUACUUCAAGAACCCAUACAACCGUUCUGGUUCUCACUUUUAGUACAGCAUUCAAUAAAUUACAUGAGCUCUUCAACACUUAUUAUAAAAUAGGCUUUGUGUUAGAUGAUCUUGCCCAACUGUAGGCUAAUGUAAGGGUUCUGAGCACAUUUACAGGCUAAGCUGUGAUGUUUGGUAGGUUAGGUGUAUUAAAUGCACCUUCAAUUUCCAGUGGGUUUAUUAGGAUGUAACUGCUUUGUAAGUCUAGGAGCAUCUGUACUAUCCCCAACUUAUAAAUGAGGAAACUGAAGUUUACAGAAUUUAGGCAGUGUAUUAGUUUUCUAUUUUGACUGUAAUUACUUAGUGGGUUAAAACAACACAUUAAUUAUCUUAUGUUCUGUAUGUUAGAAGUUCAAAAGGAGUCUCCUGGGUUAAAUCAAUGUGUCAGCAGGGCUGCAUACUUCUCCUCUCUGGAGGCUCUUGGGGUGAAUCUAUUUCCUUGUCUUUUCCAGCUACCUGCCUUUCUUAGCUCAUGACUCCUUCCAUCUCAAAGCCACCAAUGGUGAGUUGAGCCUUACAUCAUAUCACUCUGCCUUUCUCUUCUGCCUCCAUCUUCCACUUUUAAGGGCCUUUAUGAUUACAUUGGGCCCUUUAGAUAACUCAGAAUAAUUUCUCUAUCUUAAGAUCAGUUGAUUAACAACUUUAAUUCCACCCACAAUGCUAAUACCCCCUUGCCAUAUAAGGUAACAUUUUCGCAAGUUCCAGGGAUUAGGACAUGGACAUCUUUGGGGAAGCCAUCAUUCUGCCUACCCUAGGCAGUUUGUUCAGGUUCUUACAGCUGGUGGGUAGAGGACCUGGGAUUUGAACCUGGGAAGCCCCUCACUACUAUGCCCACCCUCCCCCCAUCCACAAACACUCUGCACUUCUGCCCUAAACCUGAUAUUCUUAUGCCUUGAAUGAAGUAGUUUUCUAAACCGAGUUCCUUAAGGGAUGAGGAUGUGUCUUAUUAAGACUCAACUGCGCUCCUUACCUAGCUGGGAUGUCAUCUGAGCACAGGCACCUUCCAUGGGCUCUGAUAUUUAGUGCUAGGACUUGCCCAGGGUACCUGGAACAAGGGUGGACAGAAGGCUCCCUUGUCCACCUCCCCACCUGCCUCUCAGAGUGGUUUACAAGAAGUAGGAGCUGAAUCUGUGCAUGUGGGACAGACUGCACAGGAACGAGACUAGCAGGUCCCAAAAGAGAGAAGGAGGGAAGCAGAAUUAAAAAUAAAUCUGACCCACAGGGAGCCAGGUUCCUGCAUCCAGGUAGAGAAGGAAGGGCUUCCUCGAGGCUCUAAGGACCCUGGGUACGGCCCACAUAUCAGGGGCAAAAACUUCCUUUAAGAACAAAGAGGAUUCUUCAUCAGUCACAUACAUCCUGGUUCUCAGCCUCCUCCCCUUGACACACAAAAUGCAUGUGUUUACCCAGAACACACUCUCCUGAGGCCCACAGAUGAAGGGGCUGAAGCGCAGCAAUUCACAGUGAGCUUGCUGCAACUUCACACCCCAUUUGGCCACCACCAAAGUUUCUCAGAAGGCAGUGAUCAAGGCUGAUGGGAAGAGAAAACCUCUCACAGGGCAGAGCCAAGAACUCAGAGAAGAAAGGACUGAGUGUGGAACAGGGGCCCAGGCAAGGAAAAUUCUCAACUCCUGGAUUAGGAGGACCUGGCCAAAAAUUCCCAGCAGAACAUCAGAAUUGCUGCAGCCCAGUGAGUGCUGAGUGACUCUCAUUCCUUUUCUUUCCAAGUAGCAGUGUUUUUGUGAUUCUACACCUGUUCCACCGCACCUGGAUACAUACGGAAAACAACUUGUCUUUUUGAUUUUUUAGGUCCUUAUCAAAUCAAGAGACGCCUCAGUGAGAUCUGGCAUGGAACAUGGAUUUCCAGUUCAAUACCAGCAUUGGAUAAGAUUUUUGGAGUGUCCUAGGGAUGCAGUGAGUGUAUUUUGCGUGUGGGAAAGGAGUGAAUAUUUGUGACCAAAAGGGCAAACAGUGGCCAUUGUCUGUAGAUAUUCACUCCCUCCCCUUCAACCUAUCUCCAGGGGGCACGCGCACUUCCCUGCCCUUGACUUUGGGCCUUGCCAUUUUACUUGUUUUUGCAAAUGAGAUGUUAAUGGAGGUGACCUGAGCAGGAGUUGAAAUGUGGUUGUGCUGUAGGGCUUGCUGUCUUGCACUUCUGCCAUUGCCACGAGAAAAACACGACACAAGCCCAGUAGGAUGAGAGGUAUUUGGAACAAAGCUGCCCCAGGUGACCUGUAGACCUGUGGCCGGAAGCCAAGCCACCCCAUGUGACCCUCAGGCACAUGAGCGAGAAAUACCUCCUGCUGUCGGCACUGUGAUGUUUGUGGUUGUUUGUUACACAGUAGUGGCUGACUGAGACAACCUACAAUAGCAACCAGGAGCCCCAUGGCUUCCUUAAAGACAGGACUUACAAAAGUAAAUGGCAAACAAUUUGGGAGUGGGCUGAUACCAACAGAAAGGAGAAAUGAUCAUAGACUUUGGGAUGAACUGACAAAGUUCUCAUGACUGCCUGGAAAACUCAGCGUACCUAGUGGGUCCUGGAAAAGGUGGGAGGCUAUACAUACAGAAGCAAGUGUAUCUCAAAGUCUCCCGUGCCAGUCAAAGAAAAAGAAUAAAGAGUCGGUUGAGGUUGUGGGUGAGGUGAAUGGGUUUAUAGACUGAGGUUGCCCAGGAAUUCGCAGUGUACAUAUACAGUGUACAUACUUACUGUUUGAUAUAUUUAUUAUACAGUAAUUUUCUGAUAAUUAAACUUCUUAAUAUAACUUUGUGGUAAGAGUGCUUUUCCCACAUUCCAGAGAUUACCAGGAGUCUGACUUUUAAAAAAUCUUGUUGUAUUGUAUGUAUUUUUAGAAAGAGGUAGAGUAAAAAUAAAUAGAUUAACUAGGACUGCUGGAAAAGGGGGUUGGGUGGGAAAGAAAAAUGCCAUUCAGAAAUAGACCAUGAAACUAAUUACCUGGAUAAACCAAUGUAAAAAAAAUUUAUUGUUUCAGACAGGGUCAUAAACUCAAAUACCUUAGGGGACUGGCAGGUGACACAAACAAGUGAGGUAGGCAUGGUGGGGAGUGUGGUGAUGUGGGAGUGUGCGCCCUGUCCCAGAAGGGCAGCUAUGACUGGGCUCCCUCUAAUUGUUGCUAUGUGGGAGUGGCAUCUAGCGUUGCCAGCUCUUCUGAGGAAGCAGGGCUGCCAUGUUUGCUUCUGCAGGUUGUACACUGCACAAAAGUGCUCAGCUGAUUGGGUAGCUGGAGCCUAAAAUUCAGUACAAGCUCCAUGUACCAAGCCCUGGGCCAGGACACAGGACUCGAAGAGCAGAGGUAGGCUGGGUUUCAGCCCCUAUGCAUCCUCUUUAGCCUACCUUUGUGUAAUACACAGUCACACAGGGUGGCCUGGGAUGGAGGAUCUUGCUUCCCAUUGUGGAAGGUGAAUAAGAACUACCUCUUUAUCUUUGCUCCUGACAGCUCGGACACAGGUGCCCUUUCUAGGCUCAGCCAAUAGACACUCCUUUCUAAGGCCUGGAACCUUGUGUGAGUGACAAAAGCACAGAGGUGGAGAGAUUACAUGGGGUGGCAUCCACUGUGUUUAGGUAUGUCUGAAUGGUGACACAUAGAGCACUUCUGAGAACACUGAACUACUAUUGAACAAAACUCUCAGGCAUGCUGAUUGACCUAGUGGGUCUCCAGCUAGCCAUCUCUGGAUUAAGACAUUCCAGGUCCAGGAAGGUGUAUGAGGGUACUCACUUGUUCCCAGUAACCUUUGCACAUGCAUAAGUUUCUCUCUCCUUCCUUCCUUCCUUCCUUCUUCCUUCCUUCCUCCCCUCCCUCCCUCCCUCCUCCUUUUCUCUCUGUUUCUCUUUCUCUCUUUUCUCUUUUCUUUUCUUUCUUUCUUUCUUUCCUUCCUUCCUUCCUUCCCUUCUCUUCUCUUCUCCUUGUCCUUCUUCUUCGACAGGGUCUUUCUCUGUCACCCAGGCUGGAGUGCAGUGUCACUAUUGAAGCUCAUUGCAACCUCAACCUCCCAGACCCAAAUGACUCUCCCACCUCAGCCUCCCAAUUAGCUGGGACCACAGGUGUGCCCCACCACGCCUGACUAGUUUUUUAUAUUUUUUGUAAAGAUGGAGUCUCCUAUUUGCCCAGGCAGGUCUCAUGCUCCUAAGCUCAAGUGAUCCUCCUGCUUUGGCCUCCCAAAGUGCUGGGAUUACAGGAACGAGCCACCACGCUUGACCCUGAGAUGUCCUUUCUUGGCAUCACAGUGCAGGGCAGUGACAAGCUCCCUGUCUCAGAAGGUUUGGAUUUGGUUCCAGUUCUACUAGAGCUUGGUCUCAGAGCUUCCCAGCUCUGUGAUUUUGAUCAUGUUUGCAUCAUGCUGACUCUUAAUUUCCUUGUCUAUAAAAUGGAAAUUUGGAUGCUGGUACUCCUUGCCUCUCAGGGAUAUUGGAAGACUCAAAUCCAAUAAGAUAAUGCAUGAGAAAGCAUGUUGCAAGCCUAACAAACUAUGUAAACGUAAGGUAUUAUUAUACUGCUGCAGAGACAUGAGAAUUCAUGUUGCUGAUGCUUGAACCAGAGAUGGUGGGAAUCUAGCAUGGAGCAGGCCCAUCUAAUUAUUUUCAAAAUGCUGAAAAAGGCUUUUCCAAUUCUUUGCCUUCCCUGGUUACCCAUCCUGUCUGCUGCUGUAAAUUUUCACUUUCCCCUAACAAUAAACAUUUAUAUUGUGCCUUACCAUUAUUUUAUUUGACCCUCACAACAUUCCUAUGGGGUAAGGGUUAUUCCCCUUUGCUGAUGAGGAAACUGAGGCUCAGGGAAUUCUGGGAGAUACAAUUCAAGUUGAGAUUUGGGUAAGAACACAGCCAAACCAUAUCAUUCUGCCCCUGCACCCUCCAAAUCUCAUGUCCUUACUUUUUUUUUUUUUUUUGAGACAGAGUCUCACUCUGUCGCCUAGCCUGGAGUGCAGUGGCACGAUCUCGGCUCACUGCAAGCUCCACCUCCCGGCUUCACGCUACUCUCCUGCCUCAGCCUCCCAAGUAGCUGGAACUACAGGCGCCCGCCACUAUGCCUGGCUAAUUUUUUGUAUUUUUAGUAGAGACGGGGUUUCACCGUGUUAGCCAGGAUGAUCUCGAUCUCCUGACCUCAUGAUCCGCCCGCCUCGGCCUCCCAAAGUGCUGGGAUUACAGGCGUGAGCCACUGCACCUGGCCCAUGUCCACACAUUUUAAAACCUAUCAUGCCUUCACAACAGUCCCCCAAAGUCUUAACUCAUUUCAGCAUUAACCCAAAAGUCCACAGUCCAAAGUCUCAUCUGAGACAAGGCAAGUCCCUUCUGCCUAUGAGCUGUAAAAUCAAAAGCAAGCUAGUUACUUCCUAGAUAAAAUGGGGGUAUAGGAAUUGAAUAAAUACAGCUGUUCCAAAUGGGAGAAAUUGGCCAAAACAAAGGGGUUACAUACAGGGCCCAUGCAAGUCUGAAAUCCAGUGGGGCAGUCAAGUUUUAAAGCUUCAAAAUGAUCUCCUUUGACUCCAGGUCUCACAUCCAGGUCACGCUGAUGCAAAAGGUAGGUUCCCAUGGUCUUGGGCAGCUCCGCUCCUGUGGCUUUGCAGGUUACAGCCUCCAUCCCAGCUGCUCUCACAGGCUGGUGUUGAGUGUCUGCGGCUUUUCCAGGCACAUGGUGCAAGCUGUCAGUGGAUUUACCAUUCUGGGGUCUGGAGGACGGUGGCCCUCUUCUCACAGCUCCACUAGGCAGUGCCACAGUAGAAACUUUCUGUGGGGGUUCUGACUCCACAUUUCCCUUCUGCACUGCCCUAGCAAGGUUCUCCGUGAGGGCCCUGCCCCUGCAGCAAACUUUUGCCUGGGUAUCCGGGCGUUUCCAUACAUCUUCUGAAAUCUAGGUGGAGAUUCUCAAACCUCAAUUCUUGACUUCUGUGCACCUGCAGGCUCAUCACCACAUGGCAGCUGCCAAGGCUUGGGGCUUCCACCCUCUGAAGCCACAGCCUGAGCUGAAGGUUGGCCCCUUUCAGCCAUGGCUAGACAGCUAGGAUACAGGGCACCAAGUCCCUAGGCUGCACACAGCACGGGAACCUUGGGCCUGGCCCACAAAACCAUGUUUUCCUCCUAGGCCUCUGGGCCUGUGAUGGGAGGGGGCUGCUGUGAAGGUCUCUGACAGGGCCUGGAGACAUUUUCCCUGUGGUCUUGGGGAUUAACAUUAGGCUCCUUGCUACUUAUACAAAUUUCUGCAGGUGGCUUGAAUUUCUCCCCAGAAAAUGGUUUUUUCUUUUCUAUAACAUAGUCAGGCUGCAAAUUUUCCAAACUUUUACACUCUGCUUGCAUUAUAAAAUGGAAUGCCUUUAAUAAUACCCAAGUCACCUCUUGAAUGCUUUGCUGUUUAGAAAUUUCUUCUGCCAGAUACCCUAAAUCAUCUUUCUCAAGUUCAAAUUCCCACAAAUCUCCAGGGUAGGGGCAAAAUGCCACCAGUCUCUUUGCUAAAACAUAACAAGAGUCACCUUUAUUCCAGUUCCCAAUAAGUUCCUCAUCUCCAUCUGAGACUACCUCAGCCUAAACCUUAUUGUCCAUUUCACUAUCAGGCUUUUGGUCAAAGCCAUUCAACAAGUCUCUAGGAAGUUCCAAACUUUCCCAUGUUUUCCUGUCUUCUUCUGAGCCCUCCAAACUGUUCCAACCUCUGCCUGUUACCCAGUUCCAAAGUUGCUGCCACAUUUCCGGGUAUCUUUUCAGCAAUGCCCCACUCUAUAGGUACCAAUUUACUGUAUUAGUCAGUUUUCACGCUGCUGAUAAAGACAUACCUGAGACUGGGAGGAAAAAGAGGUUUAAUUGGACUUAUAGUUCCACAUGGCUAGGGAGGCCUUAGAAUCAUGGCGGGGGGUGAAAGGCACUUCUUACAUGGCAGCAGCAAAAGAAAAUGAGGAAGAAGCAAAAGUGGAAAUCCCUGAUAAACCCAUCAGAUCUCAUGAGACUUAUUCACUAUCACAAAAAUAGCACGGGAAGAAGACUGGCCCCUAUGAUUCAAUUACCCACCUCCCCCCGGGUCCCUCCCACAAUAUGUGGGAAUUCUGGGAGAUAUAAUUCAAGUUGAGAUUUGGGUGGGGACACAGCCAAACCAUAUCAACUUAUAUUUGCAAAUAUAAUAGUGAUAUAAUUAUUUGGGGCAAAUAAAGGAGGUGAGAGUGAUGUAAAACAGUGAAAUUUGCUUCCUGAUGUCAUAAGAAAGAAUUAAUACCCACUAUAUAAAAUUAACAAAUCAAGAAACAGGUAAAUAAAAAUACUCAGAGAUUUGAAAUCAGCUACCAGAAGAAACAAAUAAAAGAGAUAAAAAGUAGUUAUCUUUGGAGUAUGGAACUAAGGGUGGCAAGGGAUGAAACACUUCUAUAUUUAUCUUAUUUUUUAACUGUGUGCAUUCUUAAUUUUACUUAAAACAAAAGGCAAAAGGCAUAGGUUUUAGUUAAGCAAUUCAUAUGCUAUUCUAGUGGAUUUGAAAUCCCUCUUUGACACUUGCUAACCGUGUAGGUGCCUGGCCCAGAUGUGGGGGGUAGGAAAUGUUAAUUUCCUUUCCCACCUUCUGAGGGUUCGUUCCUGUAAUCACCAGAAAUGUACACUUCCUGGGCUAUUUCAUUCAGCCCCCAACCUUGUCCACUGAACAAGACAACUGAGUCGCUACACCAAAUUCUAGGAUCCACUUUGUCACACCAGGCCUCCUUACACAUAUGACUCCACCUCCAGAUACAUAAUAGCACUCAGUGAACAUUUGGUGAAACUGAAUAAAAAUGCCUGUAGAGACCUAAUGCCUCAUGCGGAGACCAAAUGCCUAGAGAUACCCAAUGCACACUGUCUGUGAACUUCUCUUUUGAUGCUGCAUAGAAACAGCACCAUGCUUAUUCCUUCAGCAUGUGUCUGUGCAGCUUCUACUAUGUCCGUGGUAAGCAAGUGAGUCAUGGCCUCAGCCUUCAUGGAGACAGACAUUCAGUAAGUCGGUAUGUAAUUACACACUGCAAUAGGUGCUAUGAAAGAAAAGAACUGGACUCUUAAGAAUAAAUAACUUUAUUGGAAGGUCAAGGGGGCCUUUUCAGAGGAAGUGACAUUAUGAGCUCAGGACAUAUGAAUCUCAGAGUUCAAGAUUUAAAAAAAGGAGUGUGGCUGGGCGCGGUGGCUCACGCCUGUAAUCCUAGCACUUUGGGAGGCUGAGGCGGGCAGAUCAUGAGGUCAAGAGAUGGAAACCAUCCUGGCCAACAUGGUGAAACCCCGUCUCUACUAAAAAUACAAAAAAAUUAGCUGGGCGUAGUGGCGCAUGCCUGUAGUCCCAGCUACUCGGGAGGCUGAGGCAGGAGAAUCACUUGAACCCGGGAGGGUGGAUGUUGCGGUGAGCUGAGAUUGCACCACUGCAUUCCAGCCUGGCGACAGAGCAAGACUCUGUCUCAAAAAAAAAAAAAAAAAAAAAAAGGAGUGUUCUAGGCAGAGAGAGCUGCAUGUGCAAAGGUCCCGAGGUGGACAAGCUGAAUGUGCAAGAGUGCUGCUUCUCACACUUCACUGUGCACCUGGGGGUCUUAUUAAAAGGCAGACUCUGUCUCAGUAGUUCUGGAGUGGGGCAGAACUCCUGAAUUUCCAACCCACUCCUAGGUGAUGCCGGUAGCAUCAUGUUUGAGGAACUGAGAGAUUUAUGGACAGCAUAGUGAGCAAGGGUGAGAGCAAGGAGAUGGGACUGGAGGAGGCAGAGACCAAAUCAUGCAGGAGCUUGGGGGCCACCUCCUAAAUGUCAGCAGGAGAGUCACACAGUCUGAUGUGGCAAUUGACAAAAUGCCUCUUAAAUUUUUAAAGUGCUCUGUAACGUUGCUGACAAUGGUGGUGGUUGAAUUAGACCCACUCUUGGGAGUUUACAAUCUUGGGCUUGUUCCUUGUUGCUGGAGAACCCUAAAGAGCCAAGGGGUUGCUAGAAGUAUUUAUACUAGAGGCUGGCAAAUCACACAGCCAGGAAGUCCACCCUGCCUCUCUCCUCUCCCCUUUCAUGCCCCACUGGACCUGUUGUUGUGUUCACAAAGGAGGCAGUGGGGCAUGUUGGAAAGACUCACGGUGAAACCUCAGCCCGCUACUUGCCUCCUAUGUAUCUUCCUAAGCUUGAGCACGCUCUUAAUGUGCCUGAGCCUCAGUUUCCAUAUCUGUAAAAUGGGGACGCACAAACCUCUCUGGCAGGGAUGUUGGGAUGAUUGGAGAUAAUGUAGGAAAAGCAUGGCCAUUCAGUAACUAUUAAGAUGGGUUAUUCCUGAUUUCUAUUCCCAAGUGCUGAAUUUAGGAAAAGCUCACAACACCUUCUGCACAAAGUUUAAUGAGUUGAGGCUGUCAGGACCCUUUUUUUUUUUUUUUUUUUUUUUAACAUUGAAAUGCCAUCCCCCAGCAAAGUUCAGGUGAAAAGGAUUCCCUGGUCUUAAGUAAACCAGUAGUAUCUUGGGUUAGACUGGCAAAAUACAGGCCAAAAGAAAAAAAAACUGUAAAUUUUUUCUUUCUGAAAAAGCAAAUUCUUCACAGAAAAAAAAAAAAACCAGCUGAGCUCCACUGCUUGGGUCUCUGCUGACCUCUCCCUCUGCUGUCUGUCUGUCUGUCCAUUGGCCUCUGUCAUUUCUACUCAACAACAGGAUGCCUUCCUUCUCCCUCCCCCUCCUCUCUGCUGCAAACAACCCCGGAGCCACUCUGUCUGCCCUGUGCUCUGUUUAAAGGAACAGACACCCAUUUCUCACAGAAGAACUGUUAGGUAAACAAUAACAUAUUUUUUUAAACCCAGAAAGUGGCUCAACACACUCAGCAUGGACUGACUGUCUCUAGCAUUCCCCGGCUAGCUUCAGGACAAAGGUCUCCAGAGGAAAGAUGCUUCUUUUCUUUUCUUUAAAAGAGUAAAAGAGGACAACAGGAAACCCAGGCAAGAAAGGCCCUCAGACUUGAGGCCAGCAGACAGGAGCCUGGCCUCGGCCUAAAGAGCCCUGGGAAGCUGCUCUUGGCAGGAGAGGAUGGCUUUUGCUCCCUGAGGCCCUGUCCCUGAAUGCACCUCCCAGUACUGUGUGAAGUCUCCCCCAAGCCCUGACUUCACUGCACCCUCCUAACGACACCAGGAGUUAUACCUUAUUACCUCUGUUUCACCGAUGGGGAAACUGAGGACCAGAAGGAUGAAGAAAGUUGCCCAAGGUCACAUAGAAUAAAGUUCACCUCAGGACUUACACCCAAGUCUAGCUGACUCCAAAGCUCAUUUUGGAACCACCCACAACAUGGACUUCCUGGAUCCCAGACUUUUGGAUGACUUGACUUCACCCUGUAGCCUUUCAAGAGAGAAAAGGCUCUACUUUCUAGAUCUGUAGGAUGGGACCUGGGGAAGUGAGCAGCUUUGGGUUACUGGUGGGCCAGGAAUAGGGCUGGGGUUCCCAGGGUCCUGACUCAAAACCCAAGGCUGGCCAUUUCAAUAAGAGAAAAAACCAGACCGGGCAUGGUGGCUCACACCUGUAAUCCCAGCACUUUGGGAGGCCGAGGCGGGUGGAUCACUUGAGGUCAGGAGUUCGAGACCAGUCUGGGCAACAUAGUGAAAACCCGUCUCUACUAAAAAUACAAAAAUUAGCCAGGCGUGGUGGCAAGUGCCUGUAAUCCCAGCUACUUGGGAGGCUGAGGCGGGAGAAUUGCUUGAACCCAGGAGGCAGAGGUUGCAGUGAGCCGAGAUUGUGCCACUGCACUCCAGCCUGGGCGACAGAGCCAGAGUCCGUCUCAAAAACAAAAAACAAAAAAACCUUAAAAAAUCAAUAAAAGAAAAAUCCAAAGAACAGGCUGCGGUCAGCCCCUCCGUUUCCUUGCUUGGAUGUGCUUCUCUGAAGAAGCAGAAGUCUUCCCUCCUGCUACCCUGUGUUUUUCUGAGCUGCGUCCACAGCUGCCAUCAACAGAGGCCAAUGGCUGCACACCCAUGUUCCCAUCUGUCCGUAACAACAGAAUAAUUCCCAGAAAAAUAAAAAUACAGAAUAUGUUCUCAAACCAAGAAGGAAGAAAAUGUUUUUGGUUUCUUUGAAACACUGCACCUAUCUGCUGAUGGGGAUAAGUCGACUGGGAGAGACAAUGUGGGGUGCAGAGCAGAAUGCCACUGGCUUUGGGCCAAGGCAAACCUGGGUUCAAGAGCAGCUUGCUAGUGCGGGUCUGGGGAAAAUCCCUUGUGUAUUCUGAUGCUCAUUUCUUCAUCUGUCACACCUGCACCCACAGGUUAUGGAAGGUCUUCUCUGUGCCAGGCCUUCUCCAACUAUCCUCACAGCAGCGUGCAGGAUGGCAGCAGGCUUAUUUUUGCAGGGAGGAAACUGAGGCUAGAGAAGUUUACUAGCUGGCCUAAGAUUGGCCUGGCUCCAAAGUGAAUGCCCUUAACUACUAAGCUGAAUCGGGUAUGAGCAUAGAAUGUGCAGGGGACAGCAUAGGCGCUCAGUCAAUGCUGAUUGAUUUCCUUGAUUCCUUGACAAAUCAAAUGGAAUCAAUAAAUCAAUUCUGAGCAAAGGGUUCUAAGUAAGGCUUUGGUGAGGAUAAAGGAGCACUUGGUGUCUCAGCUCCCUUUGUCCCUAGCACCCUAAUAAACUCUGUAAAGUGAGACCAGAGAUGAGAUUUGAUCAUUAGAAUGGAGCUGAAUGUUGUCAUCUUUAUUUUUCCUCCCUAAGAAGACAAGGUAUUGCCAGUGGAGGGUCUUGACUAUGAGUCAUCCAGGUUCUUGGUGCAUUGAACAAGGAAUUGGACAAAAUGCACAAACAAAGCAACAAAAGAAUGAAGCAACAAAAGCACAGAUUUAUUGAUGUGAAAAUAUACUCCACAGAGUGGGAGUGGGCUCAAGCGAGCAGCUCAGGAGCACGGGUUGCAAAAUCUUUAAGUACCUUUUAGAGAUUUCUUAUUGGUUUCACCCUAUUGGAGGCUGAAGUAAAGUUACACCCUAUGCAAAUGAAGACUUGGCCCAUGAAAAAUCAGCCCUAUGCAAAUGAAGAAUUGGCCCACGACCAAUCAGAGGCUGAAGUGAAGGCUUCCUGUCUCCAGACCCUAUUCUCCUGCCUCAAAGGGAUACCCAAGUUAAUUCCCUAGAAUGGAGGAAGAGGGAACAGAAGAACAGAGCUGUAGGGAAGAGGCAGUUUUCAUGCCAAACAAUGCAAUUGACAAUGAUGACAACAGGAACCAGAAUGCACUGAGUGCUUACUAUAGGCAGGCACUGUGUCAAGUGUUUCAUUUAAUGGACAUGCUUUGAGAGGGUGUGAUGGCUGUUCCCCUUCCAGAUCCAUGCUUUGCCCUUCCUUCUAUGCAGGGGAGUCUGGACCCUUAUAGACCACAUUAACUGGGCUAGCUUGCCCUCUGGCUUCCUUUUGGGCUUGUCCAAGGGAAGAUACUAUUAGGAAAUCAGAGGGCGAGAAGAGAGGUUGGGGUAUUUCCUUUCUGCCCCAUCUAUGCCACAGCUCUGUGUCUCUCACAGUGACAGCUCUUAGCGGUGGGUCCCUCCCUGUCACCAGCAAGAGCUGGUGGCCUCUCAGCCCUGAGGGAGGUAACAGCUUUACAUUAUCUAGUCCUUGGGUGUCUCAGCAUCCCACAUUGGGUCCCUUAGCCCUGCUCCCACCUCCAUAAACAGUUCCUUCAUGAAGUUCUCUUCAAACCCACCCUACCCUGCAUCUUCUGUUUCCUACAACCCACCAAAUCCUUCUUUCUCUGUUUUGCAGAGGAGGAGGCUGAGGCUCAGGGUAACAGAUCUUGCCAGGGCUGCAGUGCUUGUAGGAGACAUAGUGGUCUUUCCAAUUUCACUAUCUCAUACAAGCUGGCAGGCUGGAUGGGCUUCCCCUGGUCCUACAGGGGAGUAUACAUUGGGCAUAUGGAAUAUACAUGGCUUCCGAAACAAACUCAUGGGUGCCUGACAUCAGGGCUGCAGGGAGGCCAGAGGCAGGUGAAAGUAGGUAUGUGGGGUGCAGGGUGGGGGUGUUGGGGAGCAUGUGGGGUAGGGGCUUAGACCAGCUGGCCAUGUCUUCUCACCGUGACUUGUUCUGAGAACAGAUCGCAUCACUCUGCCUGGCUGAUGGAUUCUGCAUGAAUGUGCCCUGCAUCUAUUUAUUUCCUUCCUGUACAAAGCAGCAGGACGUCUGGGAGCAGUGAAAGUAAACAAACACCAAAUUCUGCUGCCCAAAGCUAUUACAGGUGUUGCUCAUGCUAUUAAAUAUUUUAAAUGCUUUUUCACACUUACGAAGAGUUUCCCUCUUGCUCCUCUGUCCGCACCCUCUUCCUCCUCCUUGUGGCCAAGCUGGGAGACAGCUGGGCAUUAUCCCCUCAACCCACUUUCCAGUUUGGGGCACUGAGGUGCUGACAGAGGUAGAGCUGGCCUGGAGGGCAGGAGGUGACACGGGGUGGGGGUGUGUUGCUCCUCUGGGGGAUUAGCUCCAAUAGGAGCCAGUGACAUCUGCUCCAAGAACCACCAGCAGAGAUGAGCAGUGAGUCUGGCAAGGAAAACCUAAAGCUUUGGCAGGAACAAAAAGGCAGGAAAGAGGGAAGAGUGGGAGCAGCAGCAUUUUUUGGAACAAAUGUAAUAAUACUGUAUGCAGUCACCUUGCUGUCUCUGCUUGACUACCUCAUAUCAUUAUACCAAUUGUCCAGAUGAGAAAACAGAGGCUUGGAGGGAAACCAACAUAUAGUAGGUACUCAAUAAAUACAUGUUGAUGGACCAGAUUAAGUAACUUUACCCAGAUCAUCAGUAGCAAAGCUGAAGCUGAAACCCCAAAGCCCUGUGCCUGCCCCAGCAAUGCUGUCUGUGCCAGAAAGAAAGAAAGAAAGAAAAAAAGAGAAAGGAUGAAAGACUGAGAAAAGUAAGAGAAAGCCAAGAGCUGAGACAGCUCUAGGGGAGGUGCUAUAACAUUGCAGUUAAGAUCGUGGGCUCAGGGGACAGGCUUCCCUCUCCAAGAUCAGCUGUUUGAUCUUGGGCAAGUUGCUUAACUUUUCUGUGCUUCUUCAUGUGUAAGUGGGGAUGAGAAAGGUGCCUGUGCUGGUCCUGGGCCUAUUUGCUUUGAUAUCCAUUCUAUGCCUUUUCCUUGCUCUGCAUCAAAGUGGCGGCGGGGGGUUGGGGAGGCUGACCCUUGCAGGCUGUGUUUGCAGGCUCCUGUGACAUCUGGUCUCCAGCAGAGUUUUACCAGUAGGAGGCAUUGGCAGGAGGUUGGGGGGUAGAGUAAGAGAGGAGCCAGAGGGUUUCUUCUUUCUCUCUCUCUCUGCCUUGGGCCUACUUUCUAGAAGCAGUUACUUCUCCUUCAGGACUCUGACUUCUGCUGGACAGGGAUGCUGUGAUUCCAGCUUCCGGGUGACCCCAGAGCCAAAUGCCCAGCUGUGCCUAGAGGGGAGGGGUGGUGGUUUCUUCCUAUUGCUCAUCUCUGGGCCCUGUCACUAUCCUUAUUUGGCUUCUUUGCUCUUCUGUCACCAAGAAAGCCAAUUUCCUGCAUGAAGUUCCCUCUAUUUUAAGGACUCAGAGUGGUUUCUAUUUCCUAGUUGGUGCCUCAUGGGGGUUUAUGUGAGAAAUAAGUUAAUCAAGUCCUGGGCACUCAACACAUGGUGGCCUCUAUUCUUGUCAUUACUUAGACCCCAGUUUGUCCAGCCUAGCUGGCAAGUUCCUGAAUCUUCUGCUCCUCUGUGGACUUUUCCAUGGGAGGCAGAAUACUGCACAUCCAUCAUAGUUACGAGAGUGAUGGCAGCUGCCAUUUGUUCCUCCCUGCCGAAGCACCCGUGCCAGCAAAUCACUACAGUGGUGGCACCUCAAAUGAACCCUGCAAGUCAGCGAGUGUUAUCCCCAUUUUACAGAUAGGGAAGCAGGCUCAGAGCCCUUGUGUGGCUUGCUUGAGAUCAGACAGUGGGGAGAUUAAACCCAGGUCUGUGAGAUACUAGAGCAGAUGUCCUCACCACCAGUCCUCAUGGCUGCCAGGUCAUGGUGGAGCCACUGUGGUCACAUUGCCAUAGUCAGUAGGUAGGGUCUUGUCCCUGGACCUUCUCUGAGGUUCCCUUUUGAUGCUGUUGCCACUGGCAAUGGUGUGUGUGUGUGUUGUGUUUGCACCUUCCCUGAGUCCUGCUGGAAUGGGUGUAACCUUUGCCAUCCAUCCAAGAAGACGGUAGAGGCAGAGGCUGAUCUGCAUCAGAGUUGUGAGUGAACAGUGUGGUCACUGGGGAGCAAAUGUAAAGGCUGCGUAGGCUCAGGAGCCAUGAUUGUGUAUGUGCGUGGACUUGACAGGCCAGGGCCUGUGAUGAGGAGCAGGGGUCCCUGUGAUGAGGAGCAGGAAGAAUUAAAUGAUGCUCAGGGAAAAGCAGAGAUGGGAGACCAUUCAAGUGGAGAGUGUGGGAGAGAGCAAGAGAGAAGAGAGGUGUCUAUGCUUUCUGCAAUUGAAUUCUGAGAGAUUCCCUUGAAUGCUUAAAAUGAGUUUCUGUUUUGCUUGACAGGAAGGAGAGUUAGGUGGGGAAGUGUAAAUGACAAACUCAAACCCCCAUCAACAGGAACGAGUUCAAUAAAUGAUGGUAAGUCUAUGAAACAGGAUGCUAGUAGCCAUCAAUAAUGAUAUAGCUCCACAUUUGUUGACAUGGAAAGACACCCACAGCCUAUUGUGUAGUGAGAAAGGCAGGUUACAGGAUGACCCACCGACUGGGGACCCAUCUGUGCAGCACUCGGCACAUGGACCUAUCUAUGAAUAGACAGAAGCCUGAGAGCAAGUCGUGCAGCAUCAUGCAAAACCUUGUUUUCUCUGCAGAAGAAAUUCCGACUUUGGUUUUUAAAUGUUCCCGCAAUGUUUGACUCUUUUGUAAAUAAGUGAUGAGCAUAUUCCCUUAUAUUAACAGAAAGAAAAAGCCCUAAAAUAUUUUCACAUUUAAAAUCUGUAAGUGGCAAAUAAGGAAGAAGUCGCAGACCGGUUCUGGCUUUCAGGUCUCUCAGACAGGAAGGUAAGGGGGGAAAUAAGUUGCUACUAAGGGCAAGGACAAAGGUCUAGGACUUUCUCUUUUUUCCAGAAAGAAGAGACAUGACUGAGCAUAUGUGCUGACAGAAAGGUGCCUACGGUUGGGGGAAAGGACACAGAUAGAGUAGAGGGGGUGGUGCUUCUUGGUUGGACAAGGAUUAGGGAGAAAGGGGUGGGGUGGAAUCUUGGGCACAGGAGGUAGGAUUAGCCCUUGACAGGUGGAGGAGCAUCCCUUUCAUGCAGCAGGAGGGAAGGCAGGAAGGACGGUGCACAUGUGCACAGCUGUAGGUGGGGUGGCAGGAAGAUGAGGGCGUCCUUUCCUGAUUGCCUCUAUUUUCUCUUCAAAGUAGGAGGCGAGGUCAUCCCAUGAGAGUGAGAUGGUCAGCUUCCCAGGCUGGGGGCCUGAAGUUCCUGGGAGAAGGUUUGGAAGGCACGGUGUGGGGCUGGGGGUGGGGGUAGAGGAAGGGCUGGUGGGGACAGUUGGGAGGAUGGUCAGUCUCUGUUGGGGGCCAGCUGCUGUUGGAGGCCAUCCAUUUGUGUUGGCAUGUGUCCACACAGUUGACUGGUCUCUCUCUAGUGAAGUUCUGGUGUCCAGAGUUGGGAAUGGAAAAGGUUCGUUGUUGGAUUGACUAUAAAGCUGCAAGGCUUGAUGGGUUAUAUGUGACCAGGGGACAAGGUGGCGAGGGAUUGACAGUGACAGCAGGAGAGUGGUUUAAAUGAAUAAUAAGGACCUAUAGGCCUGCAAGGAAGGGAGGGAAAUUAGCAUGCAGGAAAAAGGUUAUCUUAAUCAAGACAAAGGGUGGGCAUUGCAGGAGUUAGUGAAAAAGAAAUAUGAGAGGAUGAUGGCUACUGUGGCUAGGAGGGAAGUGUUGAUGGGGAGACUUCAGAGGUGGUCAUUGGAGGGCUGUGACUGUGAUCAUGGGAGAGGGGCGUUGAAAUGGAAGGGAUUCAAGUUCAUUGACUGAGGCCAGGGUGAUGCAUGGGUUGACUUGGAAUGGAGACAGAAAAUGGGAGCAGGAGCCCUUAUUGGAUAAAUAUUGGGGAGGUACUGUGGGGUCAAUAGAGCAAAGCAAUGAGUGGGAAAGGGGAAGGCUCAAGAUGGCAAGGGGAGACAGUUUUGUUCAAGGCAAGAAGAUAAAGAACACUUAAGGUCUGGAAAGUGAAUUCACAGGAUAAAGAGUAGGUCUUGGGUCAGACUGUCAGAGGGUCCCCAGACACCUUUAAGUACAUUUCACAGUGGAGGAAAUUGAGGCUGGGAGAAGUGAAGUGAACUGCUCAUGGCUAAUAAGCAGCAGAACCCUUAUUGCCCUAAUGCACCUUCACUGUGUUGAAGGUGCCUAGUGCACCUUCACUGUGUUGAGAUUGCAGAACCACGAGUCUUAAGUGUGAAAAGUCAUCUUAGAAAUCAUUGAUGGGCCAAUCCUUUCAUUUUAAAGCUGAACAAACAGAAAUCUAAGAAAAUUAAGUCAGAUUUCGUAUAACUGGGACCAAACCGAGGUUUCUUGACUCCCAGUUGCUGAGCAUUGGUGAUGGAAUAGGGAAGAAAGUAUGUUAGAAAGGGAACAUAGACAUAGAAGGCUAGUGUAUGUGUGCGUGUGUGCACAUGCACACACAUUCUCACUCACGUGUCUGUGUUUGUAAGAAAGCUGAACCAGGACAGUGUUCCUUUUUGCAAAGAAAAACAUGCUGCUGCCUUUGUAGAGGUGAUAGUAAAUGCUUUUAUUUGCCAGGAGUAGAGAUGGAAGAAAUGAAUCACCCGUUCCAUAUGUCCUGAUUCCAAUGGAUGCACACUGAAGAGGCAGCCAACCCAUGCCAAGAGAAUACUUCAUGUCUUGCAGCACACUGGAGCUACCUAGGCUUGGGCCAUACCCUGCUCUAACUAGUAGGCUUGCAGGGCCAGACUCCCUAUUGCUUGUAUUAGCACCAAGAUACAUACACUGGCAUAUUUGUUUUGUCAGGGCUUGUAUUAGUGAGCUAGGGCUACCAUAACAAAGUACCACAGACUGGGUGGCUUAAACAACAGAAAUUAAUUUCUCAUAGUUCUGGGGGCUGGAAGUACAAAAUCAAAGUGUGGGCAGGGGCAGUUUCUGCUGGGACCUCUUUCUUUGGCUUGUAGAUGGCCAUCUUCUUCUCCCCGUGUCUUUUUUUUUCUUUUUUUUUUAUUAUACUUUAAAUUUUAGGGUGCAUGUGCACAACGUGCAGGUUUGUUAUGUAUGUAUACGUGUGCCAUGUUGGUGUGCUGCACCCAUUAACUCGUCAUUUAACAUUAGGUAUAUCUCCUAAUGCUAUCCCUCCCCACUCCCCCCACCCCACAACAGGCCCCAGUGUGUGAUGUUCCCCUUCCUGUGUCCAUGUGUUCUCAUUGUUCGAUUCCCACCUAUGAGUGAGAACAUGCGGUGUUUGGUUUUUUGUCCUCCCUCUGUGUUUAAAUUUCUUUUUUUUUUUUUCUUUUGUCUCCCAGGCUGGAGUGCAGUGGCGCCUCGACCUCCCCACUGCCUGGCUCAAGCAAUCCUUCCGCCUCAGCCUCUCAAGCAGCUGGGAUCCCACUGGGCUAAUGGUUUUUUUACUUUUUCUUUCUUUCUUUUUUUUUUUUUUUUUUUUUUUAAAGAGACAAGGUCUCAUUAUGUUGCCCAGGCUGGUCUCAAACUUCUGGGCUCAAGUGAUCCUCCUGCCUCAGCCUCCCAAAGUACUGGGAUUACACGUAUGAACCACUGUGCCCAUCCUAAAUUUCCUCUCCUUAUAAGGACACUGAUUAUAUUAGGUAAAGGCCCAUGCUAAUGAGCUCAUUUUAACUUAACCUCUUUAAACACCCUAUCUCCAAAUACAGUUACAUUUUGAAGUACUCGAGGUUAGGUCUUCAAUAUAUGAAUAUUUGAGAGACAGAAUUUUGCCCAUAAUAGGACUACUUUGGUUGCAGGAACAGACACCUACUCAUGUUAGCCGAGCAAAAACAGGGUUUAUUAUUAUUAUUGUUAUUUUUUGAGACAGAGUUUCUCUCUUGUUGCCCAGGCUGGAGUGCAAUGGUGCGAUCUCGGCUCACCACAACCUCUUCCUCCCGGGUUCAAGCGAUUCUCCUGCCUCGGCCUCCUGAAUAGCUGGGAUCACAGGCAUGUGCCACCACGCCCGGCUAAUUUUGUAUUUUUAGUAGAGAUGGGGUUUCUCCAUGUUGGUCAGGCUGGUCUCGAACUCCCGACCUCAGGUCAUCUGCCUGCCUCGGCCUCCCAAAGUGCUGGGAUUACAGGCAUGAGCCACUGCGCCCUGCCAAGAGGGUUUAUUUUUAAGGAUGAGGCUAUCUCAUGAGAACUGUGAAGUAGAAAGCAACUCUUCCUAUCUCUUUUUCCUCCCUGGAUGGAUGGUGGUUUUAAAUCAUGGUCACAAAUUAUUUGACCCUCCUCCCAUAGAGAGGUGGGACCUAUAUCGCUGCCUCUGGAAUCUGGAUGGGCUUAUGACUGCUUCAACAAAUAGAGUAUCUCAGAAGUGAUGCCAUGUGACUUCUAAGGCUGGGCCUUACAAGGCCAUGCAACUUCUACUUUGUUUACUGAAACACUGGCUCUUGGAACCCUGACCCAUCUCAUAAGAAGUCCAGCUACCCUGAGAGGCCAUGUUGGAAAGACCACAGGGAGGCACUCUGGUUUACAGCCUCAGCUGAGCCAGGCCUUUCAGCUGUCCCUGCCAUGGUGCCAGAUGUGAAUGAAGUCAUCCUGGAGAUGCUGCGCCAGCCCAUCUGCCAGCUGACUACGAUGGAGUGACUUCUGCUAUUCCACGUAGAACAGAAGACCCACCCAGCUGAGCCUUGUCUGAAUUCCUAACCCACACAUUCAUGAAACAGAAGGAAAUGGUUUUUUUUUGAGAUGGCGUCUUGCUUUGUCACCCAGGCUGGAGUGCAAUGGCGCAAUCUCAGCUCACUGCAACCUCUGCCUCCCGGGUUGGUUCCCGAUUCUACUGCCUCAGCCUCCAAAGUAGUUGGGAUUACAGGCGCGCCCCACCAUGCCUGGCUAAUUUUUGUAUUUUUAGUAGAGACAGGGUUUGGCCAUGUUGGCCAGGCUGGUCUUGAACUCCUGACCUCAGGUGAUCUUCCCGCCUCGGCCUUCCAAAGUGCUGGGGUUACGGGCGUGAGCCACCAUGCCCAGCAGAAAAAGUUGUUGUUUUGAGCCACUAAGUUUCAGAGUAGUUUGAUAUGCAGAAAUAAAUAAGCAGAGCACUGGAAGUCUGUUUCUUUCUGCUCUUUCCUGGCUUUUUUUUGUUUGCUUGUUUACUCAUAUUUCCUGCUCACCUCUAAAUUUAACUUGCACAUGGCUAUAACUUGUUGUGGUCCCAGUUAUACAACCAACUUUCUGCUGUAGCCCCUGCAGCAAUGUGGGUACUCUCCACAUUAGUCAAAACAGUUGAGACUCUGAUCAGCCAAGGCUAGGGACACGGUCAUGUGUUAUGGAAACAGGGCCAUGUCUUCUGGAGGUCAGGGCCCAGCAGACCCUGAUUCUCACCUGUAUCUAGUCCACGUCAGUGUCCCACCUGUAUAUGGUCUGCGUCAGUGUCCCAUCCGUAUAUGGUCUGUGUUGUAUACAGUCCGUGUUGGCAUCCCAUGUGUAUACAGUUUGCAUCAGUGUCCCAUCCAUAUAAGGUCCCUGUCAGUGUCCCAUCCGUAUACGGUCCGCGUCAGUGUUCCAUCCGUAUACGGUCCGCGUCAGUGUCCCGUCCGUAUAAGGUCCGCGUCAGUGUCCCAUCUGUAUACGGUCCGCGUCAGUGUCCCGUAAGUAUACGGUCCGCGUCAGUGUCCCAUCCGUAUACGUCCGUGUCAGUGUCCUAUCCAUAUAUGGUCUGUGUCAGUGUCCCAUCCGUAUACCGUCCGCAUCAGUGUCCCAUCCGUAUACCAUCUGUGUCAGUGUCCCAUCUGUAUAUGGCCCAUGUCGUAUAUGGUCUGUGUCGGCGUUCCACCUGUAUACAAUCUAUGUCGGUGUCUCAUCCGUAUACGGGCCACAUCAGGGUCUCAUCCGUAUACAGUCUGUGUCAGUGUCCUAUCGGUAUACAGUCUGUGUCAGUGUCCCAUCUGUAUAAGGUCCGCAUCCGUGUCCCAUCCAUAUACUGUCUGCGUCAGUGUCCCAUCUGUAUAAGGUCUGCAUCAGUGUCCCAUCCAUAUAUGAUCCAUGUCAGUGUCUCAUCUGAGUCUGGCCUGUGAGAGAGUCACUGUCUCCCUCAACCUCUUCAGAGUGUGCUGCCUUCUAUUCUGACUCAGAAUCAAAUAGUCAGCUUUCAGAUGGAAGAGGGCCCUGCGACCAUCCAGUUUAUUUUCCUUUUUGAAUAGAAAUUCCUUUGAUGAUGGCAGAAAUCCCCCUAACUUCCUUAUGAUGCCCCCAGGACCAGCUUUCAUUAGAGGCAUGCAUGCCAGGCAUCCCUCUUACCAUGGAUCAGUUCUGCUUGUCCAACAGUUCUACAAGCAGAGUUGAAAUUUGUUUUCCUCUCUUUUACUGUUUGGUCUUCACCCUGUCCUCAAAAGUCACCCAGAAUAAGUAGUUCCCUCUUUCAUAGGACAAUAUUUGAAUUACUUAAACCCUUCAUUUUAAGGCUGUACCUUUUCAUAGUAAACCUGGGGCUCCAGUUACCAGAAUGGGCAACUGAGAGCGGGGAAGGUGAGGGAAGCUGAUAUGAUUUCACAAACAACGGGGAGAGUGGAUAGGGAAGCUGCCCCUAAGUUCAUGUUCUCAACUGCAAACUUUUUUUGAUCACGUGUCUUUACUGAUUUUUUACAAGAAUGCAUGCCUGGUUUGGCACUUCCUUUCUGUAUCAGUCCCCUAGGGCUGCAAUAACAAAUUGCCACAUACUAGGUGGCUUAAAACAACAGGAAUGUAUUCUCUCACAGUUCUGGAGACCUGGAGUCCGAAAUCAAGAGGCUGGUGGGGUUGAUUCAUCUGGAGGCUCUGAAGGAGCAUCUGUUCCAUGCCUCUCUCCUAGCUUCUUGUGAUCAAAGGCAGCUUGUAGACACAUUGCUCAAUCCCUACUUCCAUCUUUACAUAGUGUUUGAUAUGGUUUGGCUGUGUCCCCACCCAAAUCUCAUUUUGAAUUGUAAUAAUCCCCACAUGUCAAGGAUGGGGCCAGGUGGAGAUAAUUGAAUCAUGGGGGCACAUUCCCCAUACUGUUCUUGUGAUAGUGAAAAAGUCUCAUGAGAUCUGAUGGUUUUAUAAAGGGGAGUUCCACUGCACAUGCUCUUUUUUGCCCACCCCCAUGUAGGACAUCUCUUUGCUCUUCUUUCAUCCUCAGCCAUGAUUGUGAGACCUCCCCAGCCAUGUGGAACUGUGAAUCCAUUAAACUUCUUUCCUUUAUAAAUUA
This is an RNA transcript of Pan troglodytes (chimpanzee), 56675 nucleotides long. It is a transcript of the gene named chromosome 17 C17orf67 homolog, with no coding region annotated. Lineage: Eukaryota; Metazoa; Chordata; Mammalia; Primates; Hominidae. The transcript has 6 exons. The record is from RefSeq and is a predicted model, not a curated record.